CUCGAUUUAUUGGAUUUAUAUAUCGGAUAUGGACUUGCAAUGGAAGAACAAAUCAUGUGAUCGUCUACCUAGAAUUGUAGUAUACUUGCAGCUGCCUAACCAGCGUUGCUCAGGAAGUCUAAGAAACCAAAAUAUCAACACAGGUUUGAAAGGAUCAGUCUGCCAUCUUGGUUCAAGAGGGUGUCCAGUUGUAUCAAAACUUUGCCCCAAAGCUGAUCCUUGAUCGCAGGGACCAUAAUGAAAAAAACAGUUAUGAUACCUUAGACAAACAGCUUUCUAAAAUAUAUUGUACGUUGUCCUAGGAGGUUGACUGGGGUCCAGGCCGGGAGAGAGGAAAAGAAAGAGAAGUCAACAGUACAGUGGUACCUCAGGUUACAGACGCUUCAGGUUACAGACGCUUCAGGUUACAGACUCCGCUAACCCAGAAAUAGUACCUCGGGUUAAGAACUUUGCUUCAGGAUGAGAACAGAAAUUGUGCAGCAGCGGUGCAGUGGCAGCAGGAGGCCACAUUAGCUAAAGUGGUACCUCAGGUUAAGAACAGUUUCAGGUUAAGAACGGACCUCCGGAAUGAAUUAAGUUCUUAACCAGAGGUACACUGUAUUUCAAUAGUAGAAACCUCCCCCCCCCCACUUUUUAUAGCAUUCCCUCUCUUUUUGUUAUGGCUGCUAGAUCUCUCUUUGAAAGAAAACAGGAGAAUACAUUUCCUUCAGCUUGACACCACCUGAGUCUCCCUCCAACACCUUCUCCUUGAACUCUUUGUUCUUUCCCCGAAUCCGUUAAAUUUAUGUGCACUGUCUUUUUGAAUCUCCCUGGUACUCAUUCAUCAGGGAAAGUGUUCCAAACUGAUGACCACUAAAUUCUUCAGCUUAAAUUAAACCAUUCUGUGUGGACGUACAUUUAAACAUCUUCCAGCUACACUGUUCCACCGACAGAUAGACGCGUUCUCUAAAAACGUUGCCAGCAUGUCUUUUUCAACAUAUUUUAACAAAACACUCUGGCUCUCUCAAACCGCCCCUACCAAAUAAUAUAUAUUUAGGCUGGCAGAGUCUGGAGACCAAAUUUGUUCUUCUGGUGCAUGCAUUGGGUUCUCAUUGAAGUUAAUGAGAACCACCUGUCAAGGGUUCUUGAGCAACACUUUGAUGAACAAUGAACUUAAGAAGAGUGAUGGUUGGUUGCUGCAAUUUUACUGCUUGAGCAACAUCAAUGAUCAAAAGAUGAAACAUGCACAGCCAACACAAUCGCAUACACAAGCAACAAAUUGUCGGCUGCCUGGGUCCAAUUUUGUGUGUGUUACACAGUUCUGAAACGGCUCAACCAAUUUCCUCCAACUUGAAGUGAUUCCCCAAGUCUAUUGGUUGGUUAAAUUUGGUUUAACUGUUUGGUUUAACAAAAACUGCUUGUUAGGAAAUGGUUAGCAGGUUUUGUGUGGUAUAAGCAGCCUUCUACAUUGCUCAUUGUGUGGGAUGCGGGUGGCGCUGUGGGUUAAACCACAGAGCCUAGGAAUUGCCGAUCAGAAGGUCGGCGGUUCGAAUUCCUGCGACGGGGUGAGCUCCCGUUGCUCGGUCCCUGCUCCUGCCCACCUAGCAGUUUGAAAGCAUGUCAAAGUGCAAGUAGAUAAAUAAGUACCGCUCUGGCGGGAAGGUAAAUGGCGUUUCCUUGCGCUGCUCUAGUUCACCAGAAGUGGCUUAGUCAUGCUGGCCACAUGACCUGGAAGCUGUACGCCGGCUCCCUUGGCCAAUAAAGCGAGAUGAGCGCCGCAACCCCAGAGUCGGUCACGACUGGACCUAAUGGUCAGGGGUCCCUUUACCUUUACCUUUACAUUGCUCAUGUGGGGUGUUUCUGUCAGAUACUCUUCCAUCAGUUUGUCUCUCCCAGUGAACAUUUGAGCUCUGAAGUCUGCAAGUGUCUUGUUCCUAUUCCUAUGCUCCUUCAACUAAACGGUAGUCCAGUGGGAGGCAAUAAUGUUGAACGAACAGACUGGACUUUGAAAUGUUUGAACAAGAAAUGCUCUUUCACUAUAAAAUGCAACUUCUGUCCCGGAUUAGAGAAUUCAGAAAAAACACUUUUAAAAGACCCAUACAACUUCUGAAGCCCUCCCCCCAACUAUUUUAACAAAAGACGUAAGUGUAUGAGUAACUCAAAUAAGUAUAUUGCCUUUAAAAGAACAGGGCAUUAAGAUGAAUUAUUUUAUAAGCAAAGUUAUGUAAAGCUGGCCUAAAUCUGUAAUACAGGGAUGGGAAACCCACUGCUCUCCAGAUGUGGCUGAGAGCAGUGAGAGUUGGAGUCUAUUAAGAUUUGGAGGGCCACAUGACCCCUGUCUCUGCUUUAAUCCUAGCCACAAUGACAUGGGGGAGAGCUCCAUUGAAUAUAGUGGGCCUUACUUAUGAGUAAGAAUAUGACUGAGCUGUAAAGCUCUAACUCUAAUUAGACAUGAUGGUGGCAGACCCAUGGGUUGUUGAAAUAAAGCAAGCAGGUGGUUGGAGUUUAUGUGAACUUGCAUUUCAGCUCUAGAACAUCUUGAAAAUAGCCAAAACUUGGGUUGCUAUUUAAGGAAGGUUCUAUCCAUUAGAACAGAGCUGCGGAACCUGUCAUUUACCAUACGUUGUUGGACUCCAACUCCUGUCCAACCCCAAACAGCGUGGCCAAUGGUCAAGAAUGAUGGGAGUGCAGUCCAACAAUGUCUGGAGUUCCUGUUGUGUUAGAAAAUGACUCUGUAUACAGCCAAACAACAUUUUACGUCCAGAAUGAGCAGAAUCUAGUAUAGAAAGAUAAAUCGUAUUCAAUACGUGGACCGUCAGUGUUAUACUAAUUUGACCAUCAUAAUCCAAGUGAUAUCAAGGUGUAUAAGGUAAAAGGUAAAGGACCCCUGGAUGGUUAAGUCCAGUCAAAAGUGACUAUGGGGUUGCGGCGCUCAUUUUGCUUUCAGGCUGAAGGAGCCGGUGUUUGUCCACAGACAGCUUUCCGGUUCAUGUGGCCAGCAUGACUAAACCACUUCUGGUGCAACGGAACACUGUGACGGAAACCAGAGCACAUGGAAACACCGUUUACCUUACUGCUGCAGUGGUACCUAUUUAUCUACUCGCACUGGCAUGCUUUCAAACUGCUAGGUUGGCAAGAGCUGGGACAGAGCAAUGGGAGCUCACCCCAUCGCGGGGAUUUGAACCGCUGACCUUCUGAUCAGCAAGCGCAAGAGGCUCAGUGGUUUAGACCACAGCACCACCUAUAUGCUUCCCCCCCGAAAAAUAACAAAAAUAUAAGAUUAGCCCUGCUGCUUUAGACCAAAACCUCAUCUAGUUCAACAUCCUGUCUCAUACAGUGGGCCCCCAAGUAUGACCUGAGUCCAAUUCAAACAAUGGCCAUUGCAAAUUGCUCCACCCAACCUGCUCUUCAGGCCUCGGUCCAGUAUAUCUGAAGGAGCGUCUCCACCCCCAUCGUUCUACCUGGACACUGAGGUUCAGCGCUGAGGGCCUUCUGGCAGUUCCCUCACUGCGAGAAGCCAAGUUACAGGGAACCAGGCAGAGGGCCUUCUUGGUAGUGGCGCCCGCCCUGUGGAACGCCCUCCCACCAGAUGUCAAAGAGAACGACAACUACCAGACUUUUAGAAGACAUCUGAAGGCAGCCCUGUUUAGGGAAGCUUUUAAUGUUUGAUGUAUUACGGUAUAUUAAUAUUUUUUGGGAAGCUGCCCAGAGUGGCUGUGGAAGCCCAGCCAGAUGGGCGGGGUAUAAAUAAAUAAAAAUAAUAAUUAUUAUUUGUGAUGGUCCCGGGGGGAGGUUACCGUGAGGCGUGGUCAGAGUUUGGUCCUGGGUCAAGGGUCUGGAGACUGUCCACCAAGGGUGAAGCGGGGUCCAGAGCGAGAAGCCGGGCGUGGUCAGGAACUCUGGAAGAACAGGUCUGGGUGCUGGCAGAAACAGGUUUCCAACGACAUUGCUCCCGCAACCUGGGACUGGGCUGACUGACCUUUAUCUUCUAUGAGGCCAGGGGCGGUCCCGGCCCACAGGUGACCCGCCUCUCCUGGCCUUAAGGCGAGCACUCCUCCUGAGAGAACCCAGUUCCCUCUGCCUCUCUGCCCUGAGCCUCUGCAGCUCAGGAGAGGCUGGAGGGUUACUGGACCCAGGGGCAGCUUCACCUUCCCCUGAGAGGGCUGGGAGAGGCGCACCUGCAGGCAAUGGGUCCUCAACCACCUCCGGAGCCAGAGUGGAUUCAUUUGGUGUGUGCUCCUGAGGAUCUGGCACAGGUGCAGACCCUUCAGACUCAAGCCCCUGCCCCGGUUCAGCCAACCCUGGAGGUGGGGACUCCUGUGCAGGCUGGGACUCCUCAGGUUCAGCUUCUGAAUCAGACUCCCAGGCCAUCACAUUAUUUGGGGACCAACAAUCAUUUCCUAAAUGGAUAGGAAAGCAGUGGGGAGAGCGGAUCUCAGUAGACAACUAACCAGAAAAGAAAGGGUUAAGCAGUGCCACUCCCCUGGUUGUCUACUCUUGCUUGCAGCCUCCAGGGCUGCUUUUCAGUUUGAAAACAAAACCAUACCCCAAAGUGCUGGGGAGGGUUCUUUUAAGCAUCCUCUGUGAGAUGUCUAGUUUAGCCUACCGUUGCAUGGGAAACUGGGAUUUUCCUCCCCCAUUAAUGAAUGCAACAUACCUUCUUUGAUUCGAAUGCUUUUGGAGUGCUGAAAAAAUCCAAAAGGCAUUGCUUCCUGCACCAGCAGCACGCCUUUAUACUUCUCAGUAGUUCACCUCUACCCAGCUGCUAUUUCUCAUUAACAAGCGUUUGGCUGGCCUAGCCAAGGGGGGGAGUGUUGACACUUGAAAGGCAGGCACUGGCAGAUCUCAACUGCAGAGGCAGGAAACUGCCUGAAGGUGGACGGCUGAUGGAGGAACAAGGAUUUGCAGGCACCCCUGGCAGCAGCUUCCAAGGAGGGGGGCAAAUUCCCACCUCCAGAAUAAAUUCUAUAUAGUUUGCCCCAUAGAAGCCUUUGGGGAAAGAGCCUGUCUAACUUGCAUGGCCCUCUCUCCUCAUUUGCAAGGCCCCAGUCUGUAUUAUAUUCUGCAGCCAUGUUAGAUACGAAGACACAAUAUCUAUCUGUCUGUCUGUCUAUUGCCUAUCUCUAUCUAUCUAUCUAUCUAUCUAUCUAUCUAUCUAUCUAUCUAUCUAUCAUCUAUCUAUCUAUCUAUCAUCUAUCUAUCAAUCAUCUAUCUAUCAUCAUCUAUCUACAGUGGUUCCUCAGGUUACAUACACUUCAGGUUACAGACGCCGCUAACCCAGAAAUAGUACCUCAGGUUAAGAACUUUGCUUCAGGAUGAGAACAGAAAUCGUUCUCCAGCAGCGCAGCGGCAGCAGGAGGCUCCAUUAGCUAAAGUGGUGCUUCAGGUUAAGAACAGUUUCAGGUUAAGAACUGACCUCCAGAACGAAUUAAGUUCUUAACCCGAGGUACCACUCUAUCUAUCUAUCAUCUAUCAUCUAUCUAUCUAUCUAUCUAUCAUCUAUCUAUCUAUCUAUCUAUCUAUCUAUCUAUCAUCUAUCGGCUUGUUAGCAGGUAAGAGAUGGUCAUGAAGUUAAUUGCUACAGGCAUUGCCUUUCAAUAUCUGCCCUCCUUGCUUCCCUGCCUCUUUCCCCAACCAAUCAACAGCUUUCGGGCCCUAAGAAGAAUCUGAGAAAACGUCCCGCCUCCCCAGGACCUGCAUUUUGAACAUGAUGCGUCAAGAAGAGUAUCUCUUCCUAAGAGCUAUAGCUCAAUGACAGAGCAUCUGCUUUGCAUACAGAAGGUCCAUGUUUCAAUCUCUGGCAUUUCCACAUUAGGAUGGGACCAGCUUCCUUUUGAAGCUCCAGAGCAGUGGUUCUCAACCUGUGGGUCCCCUGUUAUUGUUGGACUACACAUCCCAUCACCCCUGAGCUCUGGCUAGCUAGGGGUGAUGGGAGUUGUAGUUCAACAACAUCUGGGGACCCACAGGUUGAGAAAGGUUGCUCUAGAGCAUUGUUUCCCAAACUUGGGUCUCCAACUGUACUCAGACUACCAUUCCCAUCAUCCCUGACCACUGAUCUUGCCAGUUAGGGGCGAUGGGAGUUGUAGUCCAAAAACAGCUGGAGACCCAAUUUGGGAAACUCUGUUCUAGAAUGUUGCCUCUAGCCAUAGUAGCCAAUAUGGAAGUAGAUGGACUGAAGUUCUGACUCUGUAUUAUUCAGCUUCCUAUAUUCUCAUUACUCUGCAAUCUAUACAGUGCCUGGUGCUUGCCUUUUUACCCAUUGGCCAGAAUGUUUGAUGGCAGGAGCAAGGUUACUUCUUAGUGAGCCACUGAAUAGAACACCAAAAAAGCAGUGUUCUGUGUUUUUCCACAAGCAAAAGGCCUAGGACAUGGGUGGACAUUUUUGAGGGAGUGGGUCACAGGCCACAUUUCUCUAGAGAUCACUAGCAUUACAGGUGUAGCAGUGAGUGGUGCCUCAGUCAAAACUGGCAAAAAGAACCAGCCCAUUCUCUGUUUCUUCUGCCCCUUCUUUCUCUCAUUUUCUAACACUGCUUCUCUCUCUCUCUCUCUCUCUCUCUCUCUCUCUCUCUCUCUCCAACCCAAAAAGUAGCAACAAAUUAUUCUUGCCAGGGAUGAGAACUGCAGAUCGAUUUUGAAAUUAAGCCAAGGGCCACAAAAAGUGAAAUUGAGGGCCACAUACAUCUAUGGUCAGUGUUGGUGCUGACCUUUAAAUCCCUAAACGGCCUCGGUCCAGUAUACCUGAAGGAGUGUCUCUACAUCCAUCGUUCUGCCCGGACACUGAGGUCCAGCGCUGAGGGCCUUCUGGUGGUUCCCUCGCUGCGAGAAGCCAAGUUACAGGGAACCAGGCAGAGGGCCUUCUCGGUACUGGCACCCACCCUGUGGAACGCCCUCCCAUCAGAUGUCAAAGAGAAAAAUAACUACCAAACUUUUAGAAGACAUCUGAAGGCAGCCCUGUUUAGGGAAGCUUUCAAUAUUUAAUAGGUUAUUGUAUUUUAGUGUUUUGUUGGAAGCCACCCAGAGAGGCUGGGGAAACCCAGCCAGAUGGGCGGGGAAUAAAUAAUAAAUUAUUAUUAUUAUUAUGGUUUAGGCAUUUGCUUUUUCAACCAAAAGCUGAACAUUCACAGAGAGGGUCUGGAUUAUCCCUGAAGGGGGGCUGGGCUCUGAUGUUAGUACAGUCCUGGCAUUUGGUCAUAAUGUGGACAGGAUGGGUAACUGACAUCACAAAGGACUUCCACCUCAUGCUGUUAGGUAUCGUGGAUGAAUCACCUUGGGCAUGAUCCAGCUGCUUUGAAGCACCAUUGACUCGAAUUGGAAGGCUGCAAACCUUUCCCGCUGAAACCAAUGGGACAGAAAAGUUUUGAACUUUGGCUGAAUUGUACCCCGUGAUUUGGUUAUGUUGACAUUUUGUAUUAUUAUUGCUAUUCUUAUUCUUAUUAUUUGUUAGUUGCUUGUUACUCAAAGGUCUCCAAGCAAGUUGAAACACAUUUAAAAUAAUAAAUACUGUUACACACCACCCUUAUCUCCAACCAGCAGUGCACACAACGUUCCAGCCACUUACCCAGAGUUUGUGUUUCUUUUGAACACUGGGCACAGGGUAAACUGCAGUGUCUUUAUGAUAUAUGGUUUAUUUAGACAUAUACAACCUGAAUUUAUAAUGAAGAGAAGGUUCAGAGCAUUCACAUCUCAAGAUGAUUAUUUAGGAGCAGCAGGCUUAGGUCUACAAACAGAGGAAGCAGCCUUUCUUCUACCCUGCUCCAGCCAGCCCAUCAAGAGUUCUUCUGGGCGCCUUUCUGGCCUGCUUUCCGAACCUCUAGCAAAGUGCCACUAUUCAUUCAGCCUACAUCACCCAGCACUGAAAUCUUAACCAUUUUCUUGCCUUGCCCACUAACACACACAGCUAGAGAAGGAGCCAUUCUCCUCCUUGCCUGGCAGUUUUGCCCUCUGAUGGUUUCCUCGAUGGGCCAUCACUGGCCUUUGGCCCCUGCUAAUGGCCCAUCUUAGCGGCUAUUCCAAGUUGGAAUGGGCUGCUAGCAUAAACUAAUUACAGAGAGGUUCAUUGUUUCUCACAGUUUAAUCAAACCUUGAUUAAUUCUAAUUUUUUCUAAAUCCAGGGAUUAUGGGGAGUCUUCCCCCCAGGAACUCAUAACAAUACAUUGCAGUAUACUAUAAAAACAGAACACAACAUAGUGAUGGUGUUUAAUUACAUAUAGGGUGUUUUUUUUGGGGGGGGGGUGUAUGUGUGCUCAGGAAUAAAUCUGCUUCUGUAUUUACCUACAUGAUAUUUGCAUUUUCAGACCUUUGUUUGUCAUGCUUUACAUCUUUAAGAUGUAUAUUUUUUAAGAAACUUCAAGCAUACAGUUCAAAUUUAGACACCUGAAUUGUACAGAGGCCCUAACUGAUGAGGGAAGUAGCACAUAUGCAGCCAAAUAACACCGUACGGAUGAAAACUGACAGUUAUUUGGCCAGUUCUAGUUUUUUUUUACCAUAAAUAUACAGGUGUGAGUUGUACAUGCUCUUAUCAUCGCAGGGAAUGGAAAAUUUCCCCUCCCCACCACCGAGUGUCACGUACAUCAAACACAGACAGCAUAAGCUAAAAGUAGAUUUUUACAGUCCUUUGUGUACCCUUUGUGUUUCCUGUGAAGGGGAACCACAAAACAGAAAUACACCCACCGCUUGAAGUUUCCUUUCCUCAGAGCUAAACUCAGCUGAGUUUUGUAUGGUUUUGGCCACAGCUACAUCUGCUUUUAGCUUUCUAAUAUGUGGUUCAGUCAAGUGAAAAAUUCAGAAGACGGUACCCAUCACUUCGUAAAUGUUGAGCUCAGGCCCCCAACAUCCUUUACAGCUGCCAUCUCACAAACCCAUCAUGUCACCAGUGUCUCCUCGCAUCCCUAGACCUCAAAGACUUCUUUCAGAUGUCACAAAACAGAGUUAGUCAGAUGUGGGUACUUCUGGGGCCAGCUGUGAUGUGAUGUAUGUAGAAUUAUCCUCCCUCCUUUUAAUCCUUACAACAGCUCUGCGAAGUAACUUAGGCCGAGUGAUAGAGACUGGCCUGAGAUCACAAGAAUACGAAAAGAGCUUGUUGGAUUAGGCCAAUGGCCCAGCACCCUGUUCUCAUGGUGACAAACAAGAUGUUUAUGGGAAUCCCACUUGGUGGGGUAAUCUCAUGAGAGCAGUUCAACAUGACUGUGGUGGAGUUCAAAUCCAGGAGCCCUUGGUCCACACCUGACUCUGUCUCCAUUACAACCUGCUGAGAAAAGGAGAGAAAUUGGACACACCUAAUUAGACAUACUGGGACGCGGGUGGCGCUGUGGGUUAAACCACAGAGCCUAGGACUUGCCGAUCAGAAGGUCGGCGGUUCGAAUCCCCGCGACGGGGUGAGCUCCCAUUGCUCGGUCCCUGCUCCUGCCAACCUAGCAGUUCGAAAGCACGUCAAAGUGCAAGUAGAUAAAUAGGUACCGCUCUGGCGGGAAGGUAAACUGCAUUUCUGUGCACUGCUCUGAUCACCAGAAGCGGCUUAGUCAUGCUGGCCACAUGACCUGGAAGCUGUCUGCGGACAAACGCCAGCUCCCUUGGCCUAUAGAGCGAGAUGAGCGUGCAACCCCAGAGUCAGUCACGACUGGACCUAAUGGUCAGGGGUCCCUUUACCUUUACCUAAUUAGACAUAGCACUCUCUGUUAACUUCAUGUUAAUUUCAUGCUGACUCCUCUGCUUAGAUCUGGGUGUCCACUGUGGUGAUUUUGGGCACCAUGGUACCCUCAGACACCCUUUGUUAUCUGUCAAGGACUUCCACCCCGACCCUCUCACUAUAUACUAAUCUUUUAAAGCUGAUUUUUUUAUUUGGCUCUUGGUACAUGCUCAAGCCAGCAAUUUGUAUUCAGUACCCGAACGGAGUUUAUAAUCCUGACAGACAAAAAUCCAUUCUUGGUUCCCUCACCUAUGAAGGAUUUAAUAUCGGCAGCAUAAUUUAGGAAGAAGAAAUAAUUUUUUUUGAACAGUUGCUGCUGUUAAAUAACUGGCAUUUUAAAGGUGAAGCUAUCAUAUCCACACUUUCUGAAACAAUGUGAGAACCAAAGAACUAAAAUUCGCACUGAUCCAAAUUUUGCAGUGAAAUUCCCCAACCAACCAAGGUUGACAAAUAUGCCUGCAUGAGGGGAAAGUGUACAUUAAAAUGAAUAAACGAGUGAAAAUAACACACACAAAUGCAUCAAAUAAGGGGAAUUUGCUUGGGAAAAUGUGUACAUGAAUCAAAACUGCAUUACAAUGUGUUUAUUAGGAGAAAUUUGCACUAAAAUGCUGGCACCAUUCAUCAGUAUUCAUGAGUAUUACAUCACCAUAGGUGCUAAGAGUCAUUUUCGUACCUCACGAUAUCUGGACAGUUUUAUCCUAAAGUAUCUCCUACUAUGUUUCAUUAACUGUGUUGUUUUCUGAUCCACGUAUAUGAUGCACUUUCUCUCUGCCAAUAAGAGAGAUUGCUUGCUUGAUUAUUUUGGUUAAUUACUUCAGAAAUGUGAACUGAAUUUACAGUUGGAAAACUGAGAAACUGAGAGAGCUGAGAUAUCUUUCAUCCCUAGGAACGAGCAACCUUACAAAUUCAGAAAUUCUAGAGCUCCUUCUGAAUUCAGAAGAAUUCUGAGCAACCUUCUGAAUUCAGAAAUCCUAGAGCUCCUUCUUUUGGACCAGAGCGCUCCUUUGCUUUGGAUCAUAGUUCGCACCAGCCUCAGCAUUUCUGGGGGGAAUUUCUGAAGCGUGAUGCUUGUUUCUUGAUCUUUGGCAAGUCAAAACCACUUUUUUUGUGUGUGUGCUCUGGUUUUUACUUUUUGAAAUAAAUAUGGCAACCCUAUGAUAGGAGCUGUAGGCCCAAACAUCUGGGGGUUGAGGAAAGCUGGUCUAGGAGAGAUCCCUUGGCAAUAUCCACAGGAUCCUCUUUCAACAAGCUUUCAAAGUGGAGGCUUCUCCCAGUUGAUACCUAUGUUGGAUUUGAAAUUGCUUUUUUAUAUUUGCAAUUGCUUUAACUGUUUUUAUAUAUGCCGAUGUAUUAUAUAUCCUUCUAUCAUAUGAUGGAAUCGCUUUGAGAUGUUUCCUAGGGCGAUGAUGAAGAUGGUGUCCUUUUUUGAGGCUGUGCUGCUCUUUAAAAAAAGUUGGAAAGAUCUCUGCCAUGCGACCAGACAAUCCUAUAUAUAAAUGAUUAAAAUUAAGGAAGGUCUUAGCAAGAGGAAGUGUAGAAUAUUUUCUUAAGCUCAACGACCCCAAAGUAGGAUAGCGACUUACAAGCAACAUCUCCUUCCUUCUGCACUUCCUCCAACUUGAUUAGUUGUGCAACAAAACUCAAAGCCAUGGGAACGGGAAGAGCAGAACAUCUGUAUGCCAUUGCUUAGCGGGGGUGAAGUUUGCAUUUAGAAAGCAAUUGCAUUGUUGGGCUAGAGACAACAGGAAGCAGGAGCAGACAGCCCCUCGCCCCUCGACACAAACACACACAGACUUAACCUACCACUGAACCUUUGCCCUUGAGUGACCAGUGCUCUUAGGGCAGAGGUCAAAAGGUGGCAGGUUGACAGAAAAUGGAGCUCUAUUGGAUCAAACUGAUCGUGAAAAAUUCCUUUGUGCUUUGCUAUUCUGCGUUGUCGUUUUACACAAGCAGCGUGCUCAUGUAGUGGAGUCUGGAAUGAAUAAGUUAGGGGGAUUCCUCAUAUUGGUAAGAAAGCAAUAGGGGAUGUUAGGAAGAGCAUCAACAGGAAAACAUGUCAAGGAAUACUGCUAAAGGCCUGGAAUCUAUGCAAUCAAUAGGUGUGCAAUAUGUUCGGGAAGUGGGAUUUUUUUCUCCUGAAGUUGCUAGAGGAUGGUUUUGUUGUUGUUGUUUUGGUGGGGAGGGGAGGGGAGGGGAGGGGAGGGAAGGGGGAGAGGUUGCUAGCUGAGAGAUUUCCUUCCUGUAUGAAAAGGAGUUGUCCCACAGUCUGAAGUGACACACUCCAUUUUGCCCUGUCAGAAUCUGGAGUCAAUGUGUGUCACUGCUGUAGCUCCUGAGAUGUUCUGAUCGCAAGUUCCCAGUUCAGCUGUAAAAGAAAACUACAUUUAAUUAACCCAUGAAUUGCAUCAGGCCAAGAAGGGAGGAUGAAAGAUGUAAAGCAAGCACAGAAUGUGAAAGGUCCAGACCUAUCUUGGGUUAAUGAGGCAGAAAAAGUUGUGUCCAAACUUCUCCAGUGACACAGGAAGGCCAGUGUUGGGAUAGUGUCGGUAUACAUAGUAUAGUCACUACAUGGUGCUGGACUUAGUUGUAUUUGGGUAAAGUUAGGAGUUUCCCAUUGCUGUUUUGUUCUUGUUUAAGACAGGUGCUGUGCCCAACAUUUCUCCAAUGAAAAUAGGGACAUCCUAAUCAUAAUCAACAACUUUAUUAUUUGUACCCUGUCCAUCUGACUGGUUGCCCCAGCCACUCUGGGUGGCUUCCAACAUAGUUGUAUCGUUGCUUAUCUCCUUGGCUCGGGGGUCACAUAACUCCAUAUCCUCCAACAUCUCUCUGAUGAAAAGAGGGAGGUCCUCCAUACCCUCCAAAAGUCAUCUCAUUCUUCUAAUACAUAUCGAUGUUCCUCUGAAAAGCCAGUGUAAGGGGCCAAGAACACUUGCUAGGCCAUUCACAAAAAAAGCCCUUUUUCUUAUGAGGAUGCUCUCUGGGUUUCGAGUGGAGGAAGGGUUUAUGUUUCUCAGUUAACUAAGAGGGUGGGCUUAAAGAUCUCCCCCAAACUCAGCUCAAGGAGUCUGCAUGCACAACGUCUGAGAAAUGAAAACCUCCAGGAAGUCAAUGGCCUUUCUUUGCAAGUCAGCACUGGAGCUAUAGCCUCCAACAUUUCUCCAAUGAAAACAGGGACAUCCUAUUCCAUCAUCGGGACGCGGUUGGCACUGUGGGUUAAACCACAGAGCCUAGGACUUGUCGAUCAGAAGGUUGGCGGUUCGAAUCCCCGCAACGAGGUGAGCUCCCGUUGCUCGGUCCUUGCUCCUGCCACUCUAGCAGUUCGAAAGCACAUCAAAGUGCAAGUAGAUAAAUAGGUACCACUCGGGCGGGAAGGUAAACGGCGUUUCUGUGCGCUGCUCUGGUUCGCCAGAAGCAGCUUAGUCAUGCUGGCCACAUGACCCAGAAGCUGUACGCCAGCUCCCUCGGCCAAUAAAGCGAGAUGAGCGCCGCAACCCCAGAGUCAGUCACGACUAGACCUAAUGGUCAGGGGUUCCUUUACCUUUAUUCCAUCAUCACCAUCAUCAUCAUCAUCAUCAUCAUACCCUACCCAUCUGCCUGGGUUGUCCCAGCCACUCUGGGCUGCUUCCAACAUACCGAAUUUUUCACUCUAUAACACGCACCCGACCAUAACACGCAUGUAGUUUUUAGAGGAGGAAAAUCCGUAGGCAUGCCACCCAUAGGCAUUCCCUCCAUAACACGCACAGACAUUUCCCCUUACUUUCUAGGAGUAAAAAAGUGAGUGUUAUGGUGCAAAAAAUACGGUAUAUAAAAAUAUAAUAAAACAUUAAACUUUUUUUAAAAACCCUACACAGGGCUGCCUUCGGAUGUCUUCUAAAGGUUAUAUCUCCUUGGAUCUGGGGUCGCAUAACUCCAUAUCCGCUAGCAUUUUUCCAAUGAAAACAGAGACAUCCUCCAUACCUUCCAACAUUUCUCCAAUGAAUAUAGGGGUGCCCUAAGGAAAAGCGGAGCAUUUUGGGAUCAAAUCAGAAACCCGGGAAGCUUCUGUAAAUCUGGGACUAUCGCUGGACAAUAGGGACACUUGGAGGGUCUGUAGUAAAGUUCUUGUUUUGCUUCUGGACUUAAUUCUGCUUAAAGGGCCCACACAGUAAAUGUAAGGCCAUUGCAGACCAUAGGGUUCCGACAAGCUUGUACCUGGCUAGAUGCUUAUAUGGCCAUUCCUCUCUUUCAAGGUUAGUUUUCUUUAAUCAGUGGUAGUUACAUACGCUAGAAAUAGCUUGUAUUUCCCACAGUGCUUGUUCCCAGCAUUGGUUGGAAGGGCGAAGGAAAAAAAAAUAGGUCAGCUGAAAGUUCUGCAGCUAUGAGACUCUAAUUUGACUAUGCUACGAAAUGCAUUCAUCUUGUAGUAGUUAGGAAAGGAUUUUCCUGACAUUCUUAAUUAUUUUGAACGAGCAUUUCCCCCACCGUGCUCCUCAUGGAUGCCAAGUUUUGAGAAGGAAGUGCUUUGUCUUUCAAUUAAAAAUAUCCAAACAACCCCACAGAGUCAUGAUGGGAGAAACCAAAACAAGUCUUCCACUGCAGAUAGAUGGAGGCUGGCUGAUCCUGAUCCAUGGGGAGGGAGAGGAAGCCCCCUUUGCUGACCUUCUGCCCUCUGGCAUCACAGGUGGCGAAUGAGCACAAAGGAGACUUGGCUGUAGAUGCCGCUUGGGUACUUUACGUCGGCCGGAUUGUAAACUUGUCCAUUUACGAGCACCCCGUGGGGUUCCCACCAAGUCGGCAGACACAAUUGCGGCUGGAGGGAAAUCGCCAUAUCCAUGAAGUCUCCUCUGAUUGCCGCUAUUAAUAAAAUGGGGGCCAUAAACAAAUUUACAGCGUGUUGUUUUCAAGGCGGGGUAAGGGGUGGGGGCUCAGCAAUAAAGCAAGUGUGCAAAGAAUGGCAUGAAGAGGAGGGUGGAGGGAGGAAAGGAGGAAGGAAGAGGAAACCAUGUAAGCCAGGGCAACAGGAAUGGAUUGGGCAACCCAGAAGAGAACACAGGCCAUGUGGGUCUCAAAUGUACCCAAAUAGUUUUUUAUCCGCUGGAUGUUCCACCACAAAAGCCAGCUUGCCUUUUAUGAAUUUAUGUCUUUUAAAAAUGAAGUAAAAUAAAUAAAUAAAUCAAAGCUGGCUUGCCUUUUUUCCUGAGCAAAGUCGAAACAGAUGCCACUUUUAACAUUUCCAAAUGCGGACAAGAGAAGGCUGAAGUAUGGUGAGAUGUGUCUUGCUCUUCCCGUUUCUGGAGAUGUCCCAGAUGUUUGUGUGCUCCUCUUGUUCUGCUGCUGCUGUUUUCAAAUGGUAGUUCAGCUAUGCUUCUUUCAUAGAAUCAUAGAGCUGGAAGAGACCCAAGGGUCAUCUAGUCUAACCCCCUGCAAUGCCGGAAUCUCAACUAAAGCAUCCAUGACAGAUGGUCAUCCAGCCUCUGCUUUAUUUCAGUUCUUUGUAUCCUGAUUUUAAAAUGAUCUUCCUCCCCACCAAGAAGCGCACGUCAAUGAAACAAUAAAAUAAAUGAAUAAAUAAUUAAAUCUAUGUAGGAUAUUUUCUUUCUUCAGUUUUUUUUAAAAUAAUGUUUUAAAACACCUGAAAGCUACCAUACUCUGAAUUCAUCCCAUUGGCCCACCUAGAUCAGUUAAUGCAGUGAUUGACAGCAGGUCUUUAGGGUUUUAGACAGGACUUAUCGGGAAUACUGCAGUCAGAAGCUGUGCCCAAGCGGAAAGCACUUAAAUGUCUGGGAAAAUACAGACGUAUGGUAAACCACGUUGGCAGUGUUGUGUUUGGUGAUUUUCCUUAAAAAAGAAGAAGCAUUUUUUCUGUCCAGAUUUUUACUGCUUGAAAUAUGGCAACCCUACUCUCUGCAGACAGAGCCUUUGUUUCAUGGAUUAUAGUCCUUCCCUCAAAAGUACAGCCUUUCCCCUAUGAAAAUAGGGACAUCCUAAGGAAAAGCAAGGGAUGCGGGGGGCACUGUGGGUUAAACCACAGAGCCUAGGGGCUUGCUGAUCAGAAGGUCGGCGGUUCGAAUCCCCGCAAGGGGGUGAGCGCCUGUUGCUCGGUCCCUGCUCCUGCCAACGUAGCAGUUCGAAAGCAUGUCAAAGUGCAAGUAGAUAAAUAGGCAAGUAGAUAAACGUCGUUUCCGUGUGCUACUCUGGUUCGCCAGAAGCAGUUUACUCAUGCUGGCCACAUGACCCGGAAGCUGUACACCGGCUCCCUCGGCCAAUAAAGCGAAAUGAGCGCCGCAACCCCAGAGUUGGCCACGACUGGACCUAAUGGUCAAGGAUCCCUUUACCUUUACCUUUACCUUUACCUUUACCUUGUUCUCUGCAGACAAAGCAUGGACUAUAAUCUUUCCCCCAAAAGUACAGUCUUUCCCCGAUGAAAAUAGGGACAUCCUAAGGAAAAGCAGGACAUUCUGGGAUUGAAUCAGAAACUGGGAUGACUUCUGUAAAUCUCUGGCUUUGCAUGCUCACAUGUGGUAGGCCCAAUCAGGACUUUGCACUGAUUUUUCUUCCUUGGAACUGUCUGCUUACAUACGUGGUGGCAAAAUCACGCAGAUGCCAGAUGCACACAGGGACAUGGCUAUUGUUAUUUUGCUUCCUUUGGCUGCGUGUAUUAUUUUGUGUUUUUCAGGAAAACAAGAGACCAUAAAAGGAUAUGUCUUCCUGCAUCAAUCACAUUAAUGCCUGGAAACGGAACCAUGUAGCAAGUAAAUAAAUUGCUCCUUUUAGGAAUCCUAUAUUCCUUACGUUGAAGAUAAACGGCGCUAUUAGAUGUCAGUGAGAAGAGAGGAAUGCUAAAUAGGGACAGAUUAUUUAUACUUUUCUGAUAUCACAAUAAGCUGCCACUCCAGCCUGCAAUUUGUAUUCAGUUCAUUAGUCCUUAAUUAAUGCCCCCAUAAUAUAAAGAGUAAACAAUGGCAGCUCUCCUUUGUUGCUUAAUUAAGCAGAACGAGACUUCCCGAAACGUGGAACCUCAGGAGCGGAAGGUAUUGUGCCUCUAUGCACGGGGAAGCCAACAAUAAUAUGAAAAAAUGCAAUUGCUUUGCCAAGAUUUGCUUCCCUGUGAAGUUGAAGCCUCUGCAAGUUACACAGAGCAUUGUCAGACAUAUGUGGAUUCCGCUUUUUUCCUUCAACACAGCUUGAGAAAUAUAUUUUUCAGUACCAAUCACCUCCUCAUCAAUCUGCAGGCUUGCCAUCUGUCUUGAGAAACUUUGACUGACAGCGCAAACCUACGUGCUUUUAAAAUUCAUUAUGAAUUACACUUAAAUCCCACUUUUCCUCCAAGGAGCUAUCAGUCUGAACUAAAUGGUAUGGGGACAUUUGAAGCUGCCUUAUAUUGAGCCAGACCUUUGGUCUAUCCAGAUCAGGACUGUCUAUGCUCUGUGGUAGCAGCUAGAGUGGUGUAGUGGUUAAGAGCGGUAGUCUCGUAAUCCGGGGAACUGGGUUCGCUUCCCCGCUCCUCCACAUGCAGCUGCUGAGUGACCUUGGGCUAGUCACACUUCUUUGAAGUCUCUCAGCCCCACUCACCUCACAGAGUGUUUGUUGUGGGGGAGGAAGGGAAAGGAGAAUGUUAGCCGCUUUAAGACUCCUUCGGGUAGUGAUAAAGCGGGAUAUCAAAUCCAAACUCUUCUUCUUCUCCUCUCCAGGGUCUCAAAAGGGAGUCUGUUUAAGCCUCACAUCAGAUUGUACCUGGGGCCUUCCUGUCAAUGGUGGUACCAUUGAAGUUGACUUGGGGCUGGAUCUACUGCCAGGAUCCUGAUGUCAAGCAAAACAUCACGUUCCAUAAACAGAUGGUUCUGCCACCCACCAGACAAUGACAUGGCGUGUUUUCUAUCUGAAUUUGUUUUUAUAUGGAGGAGCAUUCAGACAUGGGAAUAGCCCAGCACAAAUGACCAGCUAACAAGAGAAGGCUACUGAUCAUCACCAUCACCAUCACCAUCACCACCAUCACCAUCACCAUCACCACCACCACCACCACCACAAUCAUAUGCUACUCAUCUGACUGGGUUACCCCAGCCACUCUGGGUGUCUUCCAACAAAUUAAAACAUAGUAAGACAUCAAACAUUAAAAACUUCCCUAUACAGGGGAGAUGUCUUCUAAAAGUCUUCUUGACAUCUUGAUUGGAGGGUGUUCCACAGGGUAGGCGCCACUACAGAGAAGGCCUUCUUCCUGGUUCCCUGUAACCUCACUUCUCACAGUGAGGAAACUGCCAGAAGGCCUUAGAGCUGGAGCUCAGGGUCCGGUCUGGACAAUGGGGGUGGAGAUGCUCCUUUAAAUAUAUAUAUAUAUACUCACUGACUGGGAAGGUAAAAGCGAGGCUUCUCUGAGGGCUGGCAAUCCAUCUGCAUUGUAAAUUAUGGGGAUAAUCCAAUUGCAUGGCUUCUAGACCUCUCUGCGGAGGUUAACUGGAUGGAGGUAAGGCCGGAUCAUGCAGAGUGGCGUCAGGCAGACUCCUCUGAGAGUGGGUGGAUGUGUGUCUUGGAAUGCAUGCAGGCCAUAUAAACGGCCAACCAGUCACUUUUUAAACCUUUUGCUGCACUUUAGCCGUUCUCUCGCAGCGCACUGCUGUAGCCCACCUCUGUUUGAGAAUUACUGCAAUAAUCCACAAGCUGCCACUGCUUAUCAAAUCAUUAUAAAUUGCACGGCUGAGCGUUAUUCAACUGGCGAACCAUCCACUAGAAGAGAGCAUUAUUUUCCUGGCCUUCCCGCAGCAGGUUAGCUACGUUUCUGAAUAGUUUCCAUGGAGAUCCAAAUGAGUCGAGCUUCCUAAAAUCUGAAAAAUGAAGAGAUCACGACAACACAGCAAAUUGCUGUGGUAUUGUGCCACCGGCUUGCCUGCUCCCGAGAAGCACAGCUAGAUGUCAUGGUGGCAUGAAGAAAGCGAGCAGAAGUUAAGUUUAUUACAAACCCUCUUCCAAACAACUAGAAAUUUGUUGUCCAAAUCGGUAGCUCUUUUCCCUUAGGGUCAAAAUAAAGGAUAUUUUAAAUGUAUGCUCACAAUUCAGUAUCUUGAACUUUUUUUAUAUAUAAAUCAUUUUGAUUAAGUUCCCCAUUUUAACAAUCCAAUCCAAUCACAUUAAAUAUUCCAAAUUAUACAACUACAUUUCAAUUAUUCCAAAUAUUCUGCCUGAAUUAUAAUUUAUUUGUUGGGACUUUCCAUGCUUCAAUUUGGUGGGGCUCUGAUCAUCUCAUAUCUCUGCUGCCUUGGAUAGUCUCAAUAGUUCCUUUAAAUCUUCCUGUUGUUAACCUUUCUUGAACUUUUUUUUAAAGAAAAAGAUGCAGACAGUGUUUGUGUGUUUGAGAUCUAGACUGGGACAGCUACAAGGGGACAGGUUUACAUGUAAGGAUACAGAAAUGUGUUCAUGCAUUUUAUGCAUUGUCGCCUGUAAAUUAUCCAGAUGCGUUGACCAGAUACUUUAAUUUAGAGGAUAGGAAUGGGCUGAGAAAUUUGGUUCCGUUCACAUUUAAAUGUGAGCAUACCAAAGCUUGCACUUUCCCAAAUAAGAACCAAAAGGAAACAGAGCCAUUCUAAAUAAUUCACGCUUCUCUGAAUGUUGCCACGCAGUUCUCCAACCAAGUGUUUUGUACAUGAAGGCGUAUACUAGGGUAAAGUCUGCACAUACAUGCAUAGAUUGUUGAAAAUAACACACAUAUUGGGGAAAUUGCGGCACAAAAAAUGUUUUUUUAGGAGAAUUUUGGAUUAUUAUUAUUAUUAAUAAUAUUUGUCUAUACUGAGUGUGGACACCAGUGCUGAUGCACAGAGUGACACCCUGAAUAUGGGUCUUUGUCAGGAUGACGGUAAGGCUGAACUCCCUGCAGGCUUGGGCAAAACAGUUGGUGAGUUUCUUGGUAAUGGCCGUUUAAAUAUGGGCCAUUCAGGUAACAAAGGAAGGGGCUCUGUGCUAAAGGAAAAAUGGAGGAUGCUCUCUCCCUCAACUAUCUGGUAGUUAAAAAGACAAGAGCAAGACUGGUUGCAGGCAGAAGCCUGUGAGACAGAGCCAUGCCUGAUUUCUGCAGGAAUCCAAGACUGUAGCUCUGAGCAGAGCAUGAACUUCUUGGGGUGUUGAUGCUGUGACCCCUCCCCCCCCACUGUAUCCUCAGAUUUCAUAUGUGAGUGUCAAUAAACCAUAGAUCAUAAAGACACCACAGUCUCUGCUGUCCCUCAUUCUGAGGAAACAAAACCCCGGGUAAGCUCUCAGAAAGAACCCCUGGAACUGACGGCUGAUUCAGGACUUUAAAUUGUGCUCUUAUAUCAAAUUUCCUUUUCUGCGUAUACUGUAAAGUGGUACCUCAGGUUAAGUACUUAAUUUAAAAUUUGGCUGUAUAAUUUGGAACUAAUGUGAUUUGGAUAAUGUGAUGUGAUUGGCCUGUUAAUAAAAAAUAUUUUUUUUUUAAAAAAAAGAAUGAACCUCCGGAAUGAAUUUUGUUGGGGGUACCCAUACAUCAAGCUCCGCACGAGUCCAAAACUCCGAACGAGUCCAAACAUCACUUAUAUUACUGCUUUAAUUAGACAGUUCUAUCCAGUUCAAUCCAGAUAGUCCUUUAUUACUUUCUUUCUCUUCUUGUUGUUAUCGUAUAUUCCUUUCUUUGCGAUCUCUGAUAAUUUUCACAAGCAGAUUCCGGAUGUCCAUUCUUAACCUGAAACUGUUCUUAACCUGAAGCACCACUUUAGCUAAUGGGACCUCCUGCUGCUGCCGUGCUGCUGGAGCACGAUUUCUGUUCUCAUCCUGAAGCAAAGUUCUUAACCCAAGGUACUAUUUCUGAGUUAGCAGAGUCUGUAACCUGAAGCGUAUGUAACCUGAGGUACCACUGUAAUGUUUUACUGUUGCUAUGGCCAUUGGCCAUAAAGAAGGCUGAGCGCCGAAGAAUUGAUGCUUUUGAAUUAUGGUCUGGAGGAGACUCUUGAGAGUCCCAUGGACUGCAAGAAGAUCAAACGUACCCAUUCUUAAGCAAAUCAGCCCUGAGUGCUCACUGGAAGGACAGAUCGUGAAGCUGAGGCUCCAAUACUUUGGCCACCUCAUGAGAAGAGAAGACCCUGAUGUUGGGAAAGAUUGAGGGCACAAGAAGAAGGGGACGACAGAGGAUGAGAUGGUUGGACAGUGUUCUCGAAGCUACCAGCAUGAGUCUGACCAAACUGUGGGAGGCAGUGGAAGACAGGAGUGCCUGGCGUGCUCUGGUUCAUGGGGUUACGAAGAGUCGGACACGACUAAAUGACUAAACAACAACAACAUGGCCAUUGGCUAAUGUGAAUAAAGUUUUAUCUUAUCUAUCUCAGAACCCCUGGAAUCUUGCACCGCUCAGAGGUUGGGGUGGCAUGUAACAAUAUAUAAACUAGAAGCUUCCCAGUUCUAACCUCAUCCCUAUCACAGGCAAGCCACUAUUUUUCUCAGGCUGCCAUCUGAGGGAAUGAUAAUAGCAGCUUGCUGUAGUAACACAUUACAGAAAUAUUGUUACGACAAGUACUUAGAAAGCGUGGUUUUAGUGCUAAGCAUUAGCCUCUAGUUCUAACAACCAACAGUCGUACCAGAUUUAUGGCAGCUUCAAGUUAAUCUAAUUUACAUAGUUUGCACAGUAAAUGUAACUUUCAGCCGUGUUGUUUAUUUUUCUUUAUUAAUUGUUACCAGACCUUAUUGCGUUUACAUCGAUCAAAAUAGUUCUGUAACAAAGGCUCUAACGACUUGCAAAAUCUAUACAACCACAUAACAACUUUUGAAAAGAAACCGGCUUUACAAUAAAUCUUGAGUAGCAAGUUUGGGCCUUAUAAGAAUGAUAGAAUAGGAACAUCAGCCGAACAGUUGACUGUUUUAUGAAUCUCACGAAGACAUGCUCUACUGUUCUAUAUUAUCCCCAUAAAACUGUCCUGAUUACGAACGGAAUGACGAGAGAAGCAAUUCUGUGAAGUUCCACAUGUUACAAAUAUAAUAGUGCACAAAAGUAUUACUGUUAUUAUGAGACGGGAAAACCUUUUGCUUAAUUUAAUACUUUUUUAAACCUUUUCCGAAUGCUUUUUCAUACCAGGGAUGUGAGCUGAUGACAACAUUUUUAGCGGUGAGUCCAUUUACUCCAUUUUGGUCCUUUUCCUCCUGUAUCUGCUCAGGGAAAUGUUUACUCUUGGUUUGCAGCCCAAAGGACUCUUCACGGUGCCAGUCAGCUCCCCCUUAUGUCACUCAGGAACAGCGAUGGUCAAACCUGUGAGUUUCAGUUUCUUUCAGCUAGUUUUAAGUUCCGCACACGCAAUAUUUCUGCAUCAGCUUGAGGUGUUUUUUUUUUUUUUAAAGCAUUAUUUUGCCUAAUAUCUGCAUCUUUGCAAGCAAUAUCCCCAUAGAAUGCAUUUUGGUAUGUGAAUAUCACUAAAAUUUACAUUUUUAUGAACCUUUUGUUUAGUAUUUGCAUUUUUAAAUGCAUGAUUUGGCAUAGCAGUUUGGAGAAGUGGAGGCUGCAGCUUUCAGCGAGAUCUCGUGGCACUCCACAAGAUCUCAUGAGAGCUCUGUGAGGUCACACCAAAAGCCAUUGUAUAGUGAUCCAUGUAACUGACUCUGCCCCACCUGGCAGAUGACUUUUGCAAGUGGCGGUAUGGUUCCUUUAAUUCAGAACACACACAGAGCAGCUUUUGCUAGCAGAAAGGCAGCUUUUGCUAGCAAAAUGCAAGUAAGCUUUUGCUCAACUUAGAACAGGAGUUUUAGGCAAUAUGGAUUCAUCUGUUAUUAUCAUCAUUAUCUUCUUCUCUUCCCUAGCCAAGGCCCGUUCCAGUUUCAACAGUGCUGUCAUUCCCCUUCCCCCAUUGAUUGAUUGCAUUCCCACGUGAGAAAAGCUAAACAGUUUGCCCCAUAGAUCUCUGGUUUGUUUCUUCCACCAAGCCUAUGUUUUGCCCUGAGUCCCGGGCACUCAGCUAUCCAGCUGCAAAUAAAACGUUUUAAAUGUGUUGUAAAGUGCAAUAUACAAAGGUGACACUAGGUGGUGACAGUGAGCUAUGCCAAAUUCAAUGUAUUUUUCAAAACUUUUUUUUUAAAAAGCAUUUUCACAGCGCUUUUUAUAUGUGUGUAAAUUCCACCCCAGUCUUGCGAGGGCGGGGAAACAGAAUUUGUUCUGUUAUAUGCCAUAUGUGCUUGGUCUUUGCCAUGCAGAUGUAUACAAUAAGUCGAAUAUCUAUUCAGGCCAGACUAACCUGCAAUUCAGAAAUGCAUAUGUUAAUGAGAUUGGUAGGAAAGAGGGCAACAAAUAAAUAAAUAACCCGCCAAUGGUUUCAAUUUGAGAGGUCUGGGAGAGCAAGCUAUUUUUAUACUAGGAUGCUUUUCAUUUGAAUCAAAAAAUGCUUUACCAUCUGCUUUGCCAGAAGUUCAAAAGGACUGGUAACAAACAUUUAAGCCCCCCCCCCCCUUUUUAAGCAAAAAGAAAAAGAAAACCCUCUAGGAUUGGCAAUAAGCCCUCAUGAAGAAGCAUAUGUAGUUGAACAGCUUAUCUCUAUCGAGCUGUUUCCCUUAAUAUGUUCCCAAUUAUGAUUCCAUAUAUUUGCUCGUUGUGACCGGCUGAACAAUAUGGCAGUAAUUUCUUAACAGGCCUUGCUGUUCUUUGAACUACGAGUACAGAGGGCCAGAACGGAACCAGAUCAGUGAGACAGAGUGCUGGGAAGUAAAGCCAGAUGCAGUCCCUGGAGAUGCAUUUCCAGAUGUUCUCCAGAAAGAGACCUGAGCUAACAGCUGGGAACACUCCCCUCCUUCUUCAGGAAAUAUCCUGAAGGUUUUUUUCAUUAAGAGCGCAGCCGUUCUCUUAUUGAGGUCCGCACCCCUCUAAGGAGGCUUUCUCAAUAGGCACAAAAUGUUAGCAAAUUUAACAACAAAGCCUUGGUGGGGAAGCGACACCCGAGACGUUGUGGGUUUGGAUGGGGUAGGGGUUCUUUUGCACCUGAAGCAACAAGUUUAAAACGAUUCCCUACUCUUCUGGAAUGGAACUGCCUCCCCAACUGCUGCCUGAAGUGCUGCACAGAGAUAUAUUGUUGUUGUUUACUCGUUUAGUCGUGUCCGACUCUUCGUGACCCCAUGGACCAGAGCACGCCAGGCACUCCUGUCUUCCACUGCCUCCCGCAGUUUGGUCAGACUCAUGUUUGUAGCUUCGAGAACACUGUCCAACCAUCUCAUCCUCAGUCGUCCCCUUCUCCUUGUGCCCUCCAUCUUUUCCAACAUCAGGGUCUUUUCCAGGGAGUCUUCUUUUCUCAUGAGGUGGCCAAUGGAAGGCAAGAAGAUUGCCCCUCUCUUGGAAUUUGCUGCCUGGAUUUAGUGCUGCUUCACAGAAGUGAGUUGCUACCCGCAUUAUGUAAGUGCUGAAGUCAACCCCACAAGUUGGUCUUUGUCUAUACGAUGAAUGCUUUACCACAGGAGUUGUCAACAUGGUGCGCUCAUAUACGUAAAAGACCCCUGGACGGUUAAGUCCAGUCAAAGGCGCCUAUGGGGCUGCGGCGCUCAUCUCGCUUCAGGCCAAGGGAGCCUGCGUUUGUCCACAGACAGCUUUCCAGGUCAGGUGGCCAGCAUGACUAAACUGCUUCUGGUGCCACGGGACACCGUGAUGGAAACCAGAGCGCACAGAAAUGGUGUUUACCUUCUCGCCGCAGCGGUAUCUAUUUAUCUACUUGCACUGGCAUGUUUUGGAACUGCUAGGUUGGCAGGAGCUGGGACAGAGCAAUGGGAGCUCACUCUGUCACAGGGAUUUGAAGCUCCAACCUUCUGAUCGGCAAGCCCAAGAGGCUCAGUGGUUUAUGUGGGGAUGCUUAGGAUAAUAGGCAAGGAAAUAUUUGUUAAGUAUUAUCCUUCCUUCCUUCCUUCCUUCCUUCACUCACUCACUCACUCACUCAGUCACUCACUCUAGUAGAUGUAGCAGAGCAAAGCCCCUCUAUAUUCGCGGAAGCUAGUUGAUUAGAUUCGUUUGAAUCUUUACAAGAUGACUAAUCCAAUCUGACUUGCCCAGAUCGAUUCCUCCUGGUGUCCCCUUUUCUCCCUCUUGAAAUACAAUAAAGACUCAUGAGUCUGUUUUUAAAAGUAUAACAAUAAGUUUACUCAUAAGUUACUCACAGUACAAAUCCUAGAAGGCAGUCUUUAAGCUUCAGGUUAAAACAUACAAUGUGGCUCGCUUCCUUUGUGAGGAUGGGCCUAAGUGCUGCUGGCUGAGAGCCAGAGACUUAAUUGAACUGAAUCGAACAGAGGACUUCCGGGUUAGCGCCUCCGGCAAUGGCGGAAUUCCUCUGAUUGGGAGGAACCCGCUCCGUGGAAAUCAGGGUCUGGCUACCACGGGUAAGGCGGAGACCCACCAAAAACCACAGGCGGGAGAAGCCUGUGGAGGUGGGAUUCGGCUGGCACCUUUUGCGCCCCCCCACUCGCGGGGAAACCCAGUUUCGGGGGUCCGGAGCAACGUGGGGUGAGUGGCGCGGUGCUUUGAAUCGACUGCUUCUUUCACGGAGUGAAAAUUGUUCCUGUGGACAAUUGGAUUUUAAACAACUACCCGUGAGUAGAAAGGAAAAUUGGACCUUUAAACAUCUUAAUUUGGCACCGAAACGGGAAGGUUUCAAACAGGAAGUCCGCCUUCCUCUUUUGUAAAUAGAUAGAGCAAAGACGCUGCAAGCUAAAGUCUUGGAGAGCCUUUUGUAAAGGACUAAAUUUCCAUCAGUUAAAAUUAUUAAACCCCCCUUGGAAGCAGGAGAAGAGGGGGGAAAUUUUAGAUUGCCUAAGCCUGCAGGAGAGAGAGUGAAGAAAGACAAAUUGCCACCGUUUUAAACCUGGGAACGGGCUGUCAGUAAGUUUGACGUUUUGGGAAAGUCCAUUGACUGUGAAUAAAACGUAUGUUGACAGAUAGUUAAAUAAGAGAAAUAAAUUGUUUCCAUUGUUUCCUUUUGCACUUAAAAAGGAGCAAAAGUAACUGAAAGAUUGAAACUAACUUUGUUGCUGGAUCUGCGUUUAAAAGGACGGAUACAAAUAGAAAUUGUUUCCUCUAGAGGGAGCUUUUGAAACUGUUGCAGGAGUGGAGCUGGGGAAUUUUCCAGCUGCAGAGAUAAAAGACCGUGAGAAUCAGAGAUUGACCUUGGACAAGAAUGUUGACAGAAGAAGCCUUAGUGAUUGUAUUUUGCAAGAUAAGUGUUUUAUUGGAACAGCUUCAUGAGAAGAUGGAUGUGAUGACUAUUAAAAUUGAUAAUUUGGGACAAAAAAUGACUGAUUUGGGACAAGAAGUGAAUAUCUAUACAGAAACUACUCAGGAAUCGAUCCAGGAAUCUACUUCGACAUGGCAAGUUGUGGAGACGAGGGAGAAAGUUAUUGUAGAACCUCAAGUAAUACAAGUGGAGAGAGCCUCAGUCUUACAGAGACAAUUUGAUGAAUAUAAGCUGUUGCCUUCUAUGUCUGAAUUUAGAGAAAACCAGUUGAAACACGUCCUGAAAUAUCUUUUGGACUUUAGUUUUGACUAUGGAGAAUGGGCUGACCAGUCGAGAAGGAAUAAAGACAUUGUUAGGUUGGAGCUUCCCCGAGAUCUACUCCUCAAUGUUAAAGGAAGGAAAUUAAGAAUAAGAUCAGCAGAAGAUAAAGUAAAGUGUAUGUAUAAAUAUGAAGAAGAUCUGCAGAAGGGACAUGGAAAAGAGUUAAGAGCCUCGGACAGAAGAUCACCAGGUUGAUGGACCAUAUGGAUUGAUAGAAAGGACUGGCAGAAUCCGAGACCAGGGAGAAGAGACGGUGGAAGAAGAUUGGAAAAAAGUUUUAAAAAUUUAUUUAUAGAAACAUUGUAAAAUUAAUGAGUGUUAGAAAAAUGUUGGAAUGAAAUUACACGGCUUUAGUAGAAAUGUUAUAAGGAGUUAAGUACAAAUAAGUUUUAGGGUAUUAAUGGUAAGAUAAGGUUAAAAUAAAUUAUGAUAAUUAUAUGAUAGAAAAUAGUGAAAGAUGGAAAGGAUUUGCUGAAACAAUUAAUAACUAGAACACAAAAAAGGGAGGUGCAAGGAGGUCGAUGAAACAAGUUAAUGAAAGACAAAGAUAUGGAAAUAUUGGAUGUGUUUUUAAUUGUUUUUGCUUUUGCUUUUGAUUUGAUGUAUUAUGUCUUUUGUUUUUUGUUUUUUUAAUGUAUAGUAUUGAUUUGCAUUGUUUACUUUUUCUUUCUUUUUUUUUCUUUCUGCAAUCUUUAAACCUUUAAUAAAUAUUAUUUUUUUAAAAAAUAUGAAUCGAACAGAGUUGAAAUCGAACAGAAGAGAAAAUGGCUGUGUGACUCUGCCUUUUACAGAGUCACACUCAUCUGCGGAGUCAUUUACAAGAGGAACCGGAAGUUACAUAUCCCCCUGUCUCUGUCCACUCUAGGAAUUAAAGCAAGUUGUAAUUGACUGUACUGAUGUAACACAUCCCACAGUUUAGAUCAGGCAUAGGCAAACUUGGCCCUCCAGAUGUUUUGGGACUACAACUCCCAUCAUCCCUAGCUAACAGGACCCAUGGUGAGGGGUGAGGGGAGUUGUAGUCCCAAAACAUCUGGAGGGCCGAGUUGGCCUAUACCUGGUUUAGAUCACAGCGCCACCUGCGCUCAUACAUCACUAGGCCACUAGUACCUUUUAUGGGGGCCUGAAAAAGACAUCCAAGAGGCCCUGGCUGUUCAGGCACCCACAAUUUUUUUGCUUUGGGUGCCCAGUCUCCACCUCUGCCGCCACCAUCUACCACCACUUGCUUCUGGGGUGCAUCCGCAGUGGGGAUGCAGGCCCUGGCCCAGUUGCUGUCAUGGCUCCAGAGUGCGGAAAUGCACCUCGCUGUCAUGACAUGUCAUGAUGUCAUGACGUCACAUUGACGUCACAUUGACGUCAAAUUGUGCUGAUGUCAUGAUGGCAUGGCAUGUGCACACUGGGCACCCUACUAUGGACAAUCGCCCCCCAAAAGAUCAGCAACUGGGUCCGGAUUUUUACUUCUAGGCAAUCCUAGAUUUGUACUCCUCCAACUAAGAAUUGAUCCUUUUGAAUUAUGGUGCUGGAGGAGACUCUUGAGAGUCUCAUGGACUGCAAGAAGAUCAAACCUAUCCAUUCUGAAGGAAAUCAGCCCUGAGUGCUCACUGGAAGGACAGAUCCUGAAGCUGAGGCUCCAAGACUUUGGCCACCUCACGAGAAGAGAAGACUCCCUGGAAAAGACCCUGAUGUUGGGAAAGAUGGAGGGCACUAGGAGCAGGGGACGACAGAGGACGAGAUGGUUGGAUAGUGUUCAUGAAGCUACCAGCAUGAGUUUGACCAAACUGUGGGAGGCAGUGGAAGACAGGAGUGCCUGGCUUGCUCUGGUCCAUGGGGUCACGAAGAGUCAGACACGACUAAACAGCAACAACAAACUAAUGUGUGGGUCAAAUCCUAUCUACGCCACAAGAUUCUGCUUUUAUCUCAAUUUUAUGAUAUUUACACCUCUCAGCAGUUUCGGUGCAUCAAAAUAUGUCUCGAAGUAAUACUUUGAUAGAGAAAAAUAGCAUUUGAAAAUACAUAUUUUGAGAGGACUGCUUUUUUAAAAAAUAAAUAGACAAAUUGCAGGCGGAUGUGGAAAUGGAACAGAGCAAAACGUGUGAAAGUGCCACAGACAGGAAAUGGACAUAUUUGUCCAUUCUAAUUACAAUGAAACGAAUGACUGUUAAUGAUGGGUAAAAGGCAGUUACUACCAUUUGAUCAUAAGCAGAAAAUUAUUUUGUAGCAUCAGCAAUGGAGUUUCCCCUGCCACAUUAAAUUUGUAAGUGAGUAGCUAGAGUUUGCAAAUGAGGUGACCUGGGGUGAAAUAGUGGAACCGCAUGGGAUAUUUUUUCUAGCCCCCAUCAUUUAUGCCAAAUUGCCUCAGUUUUAUUACUAUACAAGUCCGGAGGGGGCCGCAGUUGACAGGCAAUGAUUUAUGGUCAAAUAGAUAGUGUUGGGUAUCAGACAUGGCACUGUGGGUGAGACUUAACACCAUUCGAACAAGACUGUGGUUGUGGUGUCUGGCCAGUGGCUGAAGUGAAAAUUCAGAGUGACAACAACAUCUCGCCAAGAGAUGGUAUUGUCUCAUGGACAUUCUUUUUUUAUUUCAAAGGUCAAAACACUCCAGAGUCAGCCAAAUCUACUCCAUCAGAUCCACAAGAAAGAAUUAGAGCUAUGUUGACUUUUUAAAGGCCUUCUUUGUACAGAAUCAGACUUUGAAAGUAAGGUUUGUGUUUCAAGAGGUGGAAAAAAUGGGUAAAUGGACAAAUCUUGUACCUCAGUAGUGUGUGCCGGUGUUUUAAAUGGGGUGAGGGGAAUUCCUCAUGCCAUAUAUCUGAUAAUGGUACCAAGUCGGAGAAGCUCCACUUUUCAGAACUAUACAAUAGACUGCACUAGGAAGCUCAUGUAACACUGAAUGGAAUGGAAAGUGACUGGGCUCCAGCAGACCCUCCAAGUCUCCCUAUUUUCCUGGAAAAGUCCUGGAUUUACAGAAGCUGUCUCAGUUUCUUAUGUGAUCUCGGAAUGUCCUGCUUUUUCCUAGGACGUCCCUAUUCCCAUCGAAGAAAUAUUGCAGUUAUGCGACCCACAAGGCAAAGAGAUAAGUAACUAUACCACCCUUAGAAGACAUAUAAGCAUCUGGCCUGGUACAAGCUAGUCAGAACCCUCUGGUAUGCAAUGACCUUACAUUUACUGUGUGGGCCCUUUAAGCAGAAUUAAGUCCAGAAGCAAAACAAGAACUUUAGUACAGUCCGUCCAAGUGUCCCUAUUGUCAAGCAACAGUCCCAGGUUUACAGAAGCCGUCUGGGUUUCUGAUUUGAUCCCAGAAUGCUCUGCUUUUACUUAGGGCACCCCUAUUUUCAUUGGCGAAAUGUUGGAGGGUAUGGAGGAUGUCCCUGUUUUCACUGGAGAAAUGUUAGUGGAUAUGGAGUUAUACGACGCCCGAGCCAAGGAGAUAAAUAACUUCACCACCUUUAGAAGACAUCUGAAGGCAGCCCUGUGUAGGGUUUUUUUUUAAAAAAAAAGCAGUGUGAAAUGUUUCGGUAUGUUUUUAUAAAUGUUGGAAGCUGUCCAGAGUGGCUGGGGCAACCCAGCCAGAUGAGUGGGGAAUAAUGAUGAUGAUGAUGAUGAUGAUACUGAUGGAAUAGGACGUCCCUAUUUUCAUUGGAGAAAUGUUGGAGGAUAUAGCUCCAGUGCUGACCUGCGAAGAAUGGACAAUGACUUCCUAGAGGUUUUCGUUUCUCAGACGUUGUGCAUGCAGACUCCUUGAGCUGAGUUUGGGGGAGACCUUUAAGCCCACCCUCUUAGUUAACUGAGAAACAUAAACCCUUCCUCCACUCGAAACCCAGAGAGCAUCCUCAUAAGAAAAAGCUCUUGGUUUUUUGUGUGAAUGGCCUAGCAAGUGUUCUCGGCCCCUUGCACUGGCUUUUCAGAGGAACAUUGAUACAAGAAUGAGAUGGCUUUUUAAGAAAACAAGCCAUGAAAUUUCAACACAGGGAAAAUGCCUGAUGGUUGUUGUGGUCUGGAGGUCCUAACACACAGGGCAGCUGCAUGGUAAAUCCAGGGCAUUACAGCUAUUAUGAUUUCCCUGGUAACUAUUUCAAGCCAUGGCUGGUCUUAAGGUAAAGGUAAAAGGACCCCUGACCAUUAGGUCCAGUCGUGACCAACUCUGGGGUUGUGGCGCUCAUCUCGCUUUAUUGGCCGAGGGAGCCAGCAUACAGCUUCCAGGUCAUGUGGCCAGCAGGACUAAGCUGCUUCUGGUGAACCAGAGCAGCGCACGGAAACACCGUUUACCUUCCAGCCGGAGCGGUACCUAUUUAUCUACUUGCACUUUGACAUGCUUUCAAACUGCUAGGUUGGCAGGAACAGGGACUGAGCAAUGGGAGCUCACCCCAUCGCGGGGAUUCGAACCGCCAACCUUCUGAUCGGCAAGUCCUAGGCUCUGUGGUUUAACCCACAGCGCCACCCGCGUCCCAAUGGCUGGUCUUACCAUGCAGCAAACCAUUAAUUUAACAUAUUUGUGUAUCGCUUUUUUUAGGCUGAUCUCACAGAACGUUGCACAUGAAUUUAACACGAUGAGAAGCACCAUUGUCAUUUUAUUUUUUCACAACAACAACAGUGCCGACAACGGUUUUGAUGAGGCGGUCUCUUGCUUCUACUCUCCUCUCCUCGGGGCAAGAGGAUUCACCAGAAGCCCAUGUAGUGGCGGUUGAGGGAAGGAGAAGCCAGCACUGGGCACUAGAUGGUGACAGCUCACCAAACUGCUUCUGCAGUUGGAUUCAAAGCUGGAUGGGGUAUACAGAAACCGGAACGCAAUGACAUCACGUUUCGCUUUAUAGAAUGCUACCGGGAGUAGGGAGGAGAGGAGGAAACGUGAAGUUGCUACUUUUGGCUACAGUUCCAUCGCUCCCGUAAUGUCUCGUCCCGCCCUUACUCUCCGUAAAUAACCUCUUUCUAGUGUUUCUUCCCACACUCCACAGAUCGCUCCAGAGGGUUGCAUGCUCCCAAAUGCCCACACCAUACCUAGGAAUCUGUAGGACAAUUGCACAGUAAUCCCAGCAGGGAUAUGGUGCCUUUCCAGUGAUGGGGAGAGAGGAGGUAUAUCACCCCCCCUUGCCUAACAGUGUUAGGAUGUACGUUUCUUUCUCUCCCCCCGCCAAUCCCGCUCUGUUUCGGUUCCACAAUGUUCCAUUCUGUACCUCAUAAGCACUUAAUUUAUUCCCACUCCUUGGCCUGACCUGUAAUCCCCCCUCUCCUCACGCAUCUGACCCAUCUGUGUUUCAUUUCCCGCUCAUCAAUGGCCAAAGAGCUAGGCCUAGGCCCUGUUUGGAACCAUUCGACAGGGCUUGGCAGCGUUCCCUCUUCCUGCACCACAUCCUCCCCAGAAAAAUAUGACCAUCAGAUCGGAGAACAGAGUCUGCUUUGUCCCCCGGCAACCAAGAUCUGGAAGUGCUUUCAAUGAUUUGCACUCUAUACCCACUCAAAUGCAUUAAUGUGAUCAACAUUGGGCUUGUUGUGGGCAUUUUCCCUCUCUCUCUCUCUCUCUCUCUCUCUCUCUCUCUCUCUCUCCAGCAAAUAGCUUGCUAACAUUCCAGGCAUGUACUUCCCUGAAAACAAGACCGAGACGGGGCCCUGAAUAUUCAAUUGGAAAAUCACCAAGAGCGAGAGCUUAGCUUGGCACGGCUGGUGUUGAUUCUUAAUAAGUGACUUCCUAAAAGCUGAGGCAUGGGGCUUACGGCUUCAAUGACUUGUUUGAAAAAUAUUUUGUAGGUGCCUCAUACCACUUUAUUUCCUGUGGUAUGCGUCAUAUUGUGAGUUAUUCCGAGCCGGGCUGUUUAAGAGUGCUCGCAUUUUUUUCCGAGGUUGCGGGGUUUUUAACAAAAAAAUGUGCUUAUACGAGAUGAGCUCAUAGCUAUUAGUGCUGAUGUAGACUUAACUACUUGGAGACCAGAAACCUCUGAGCUCUAAUACCUGCUGGAGUGCUCGGGAAGGGGGGGGGGGGCGAAGGAAGGAAACCUGAGUACCCAAGUGGAGGGUGGGGGGGGGUCUGAAAAGAGUUUAAAAUGCUUUUCAAAGAGACAGUAGCACUCCGUUUAUAUGAGGAGAGAGAUUCUGGAACAGUCUACACCCUGUCGUGUAUACGAUCAACAGCAAUUCAACACAAAACCUUUCAUUCUCAUUAGAAAAGAUCACUUUUUGAGGGAUUGCCCAAUUAAAGGGGCCUGAGCUGCUCAAACACGAGGCUCUUCAGCAUAACUGUACCCAAGGAAAGCCAUUUCAUCCAGGAGAGCUGGGCACGCUAGUUAGGGUUGCCAUUUUCCUGGACAUACCUGGAAUACUGUGGUCAAAAGCAGUGCCCGGGUGGAAAUUGGCGAGAUGUCUGGGGAAAUCUGGAUGUGUGGCAAGCCAUGUCGGCAGUGCCGUUUUGCCGGUUUUCAUAAAUAACCGUUCAGAUUUGCUCAAAAACAGCAUUUUUUUGCGGUUUUGCAAAUAAAGCUCAACAACUUUGGCAAAAAGAAAAGAAAACAAAAUAAAACAAAACAGAAAAGCUCAACAAGUUUUGUGUCUGGGUUUUCACUUUUUGAAAUAUGGCAACCCUACACUAGGUACAUCCUUAUGUUUAUUCAUUUAUUUGGGCCUUUCAUCAACCCUCACCACCAUGAUAAGGCAAGAUUGGCUGUGUUGAAGGGAGGUCCAACUGGCACUUGUUAUCAGCAAGCAGGACUGAGCCCUAGCUGGCUCAUUCAGCCAAUCCCAUAGCAUGAUGGUUUUGUGAUGUCAACUGGAGAGGUUCAUUCAGCCAUUGUCUCCUUGGCUUGGUCCCCUUUCUCCCUAAUCUCAAAGAAGCUGGAUUGUAUUAUGUGGAUGAUACUUGAAAACCUGAGUGGCAGGAUUUGUGCCAUUUUUCUUCGGUGGAAGAAGAUUGGAAAAAGUUUAAAGACUACUUACAGAAAUACUGUAAAAUUAACGAAUGUUAGAAAAAUGUUGGAAUGAAGUUAUAUGGCUUUAGUAGAAAUGUUAUAAGGAAUUAGGUAUAGAUAGAUUAAUAGGGUAUUAAAGGGAAAAAUAAGGUUAGAAUGUGUUAAGAUAAUUAUAGGAUAGAAAAUAGAGGAAGAUGGAGAGGAAUUGCUGAAACAAUUAAUAGAAGUGGAAGACAAAAAGGGAGGCGUGAGGAGGUCGUGGAAACAUGUGAAUGAAAGAUAAGAUAUUGAAAUUGGAUUGUGUUUUGAAUGGUUUUUGUUUUGUUUUGUUAAUUGUUUGUGUUAGUGUUGUGUAGUGUUUUUUGUACGGUAUUGUAUUGUUGUAUUGUUUUUCUUUGGUUUUUUUGUAGUGUUGUGUUUAAAUUGUUGAAAAUUAAUAAAUAUUAUUUUUUUUUAAAAAAAAGUAUUUGUGCCAUUUUUUGUUUAGCAGGCUGGUAAAAAUGAUGAUGUAUUAACCCUUGGAGGGCAAACUCAUCCCUGUAUUUUUGGCCAAGGAGCUCACCUUACUGUUACAAGGUUGGUUUUAGAACACCUAGGACUUAGCUACGCCAGUCAAAAAACAGUGCUUCAAAUGUGUUAUAAACAUGCAACACCAAACGGUGCUGGAGAGCAAAUAAAAUAAAAUAAAACAAUAAAUAAAUAAAUAAAAAUAAAAUAAAAUAUUUGGGAUUUUCCAUAGCAGUUUUUUUUUUCUUUUGUUGUAACCGGUGCUUUUCUUCUAGAUAAAGGAUGCUGGUACUGCGUACCCUUGAAUACCCCCAGAAAAAAAGCACUGGUUAUAACGAUUUUAUUUUUGACUUAUUUACAGCGUUUUCUUCCUGUGUGUAGAUCCACUCUUAAGACAGAAAGGAUGGGUGGUCCUGUUGGGGGGUCUCUUAUAUGUUUUAUAGUCCUUGUGAAAAUAAUCUGCCCGGAUUGUCUUGCUCUGGCCAAGGAUAGCAUGUCAGGUUUAAACCUGCUUCCAAACCAUGGCUUUUGAUAUAAAAUGGCUUUUCCACACAUUGUACAGCAGCAAAGUCAGGUUUGCUACUCUGGGCAUGCUAGACCAUGAGUCAUAGGGCACACAUUUUCAAGGUGUAUUAUUCAACAUCCACAAGCUGGGCCUUACAGACCCUCCAAAUAUCCCUAUUUUUCAGGCACAGUCCCGGAUUUACAGAAGCCAUCCCAGUUUCUGAUCUGAUCCCAGAAUGUCCCACUUUCCCUUAGGACAACCCUAUUUUCAUCAGAGAAAUGUCAGAAGGUAUGGAGGAUGUUCCUAUUUUCAUUGGAGAAAUGUUGGAGGUUCUGGAGUUAAGUAACUAUACAACCUUUAGAAGACAUCUGAAGGCAGCUCUGUAGGGGGAAGCAUUUUAAAUGUGUAAUGUUUUGUUAUUUUUUAUAUGUGUUGGAAGCCACCCAGAGUGGCUAGGGCAACCCAGUCAGAUGGGUGGGGUAUAAAUAAUGAAAUUGUUGUUGUUGUUGUUAAAUAGGACAUUUCUAUUUUCAUUGGAGAUAUGUUGGUGAAUAGGGCCUUAAUCUCUGAAUGUUCAUAUGCACUUAUUAUCUUAGAUGCACACAAUAGGGGGUCCAGGUUUUGGGGCACAACACCAUCUCUGUGUGGGCCCCAAUCCCUCAGUGAAGAAGAAGAAGAAGAGUUUGGAUUUGAUAUCCCACUUUAUCACUACCUGAAGGAGUCUCAAAGCGGCUAAUAUUCUCCUUUCCCUUCCCCCCCCCACAACAAACACUCUGUGAGGUGAGUGGGGCUGAGAGACUUCAAAGAAGUGUGACUGGCCCAAGGUCACCCAGCAGCUGCAUGUGGAGGAGCAGAGACGCGAACCCGGUUCCCCAGAUUACGAGACUACUGCUCUUAACUACUACACCACACUGGCUCUCACUGGGUUCACCACUGCCUCCCUGCUAUUGUCACCAAGUGACAGAGAACAAGACUUCAAGCAAGCAGAUAGCAGUCGCUCCUGAUGCUUCUCCUCUCCAAUGCCACUGCUGUAGCCUGGUCUAGGGCUGCCAUGUUUCGAAGAGCAAGGAAGAGCACACAUUUGCCAACUCCUACUUUUAACUAUGGAUCGCUAUGACGACUCUACCCAUGAAAAAUAGGACAUGUCCCACAAAAAGGGAGCUAGGGGAACCCUCUGAAAUAUCUAGUAGGGAAAUAGAUUGGAUGGAUGGAAUAUGGAAGAGCAGAGUAGAUAAAAAAAGCAGAGAGGAACCAAAGGGAAAAGGGGUGAAUUGACAAAGGUGCAGACAGAAAGGUUGACAGAUUUUUCCAUAAAGGAUUUUGCCAGCCUAAAAAAGUUGGGGUUGAAGAAUCGGACCUUUGAAAAUUCCUAUACAAAAUUAUUUGAUUUGUACGCCUCCAACUAAUGUGUGGGUCAAAUCUGAUCUAUGCUACCCAAUUCUGCUCUUCCAUCAAUGUUAUGGACCUACUACACACCUCUCAGCAGUUUUAAUGCAUCAAAAUAUGUCUCGAAGUGAUAUUUUGAUAGAGAAAAAUAGCAUUUAAAAAUACAUAUUAGGUUGGAACUCUCGAAUUCUGUGCAUAAAUCCGUUUAAAAUUAAUUCCUCCUCCAUGCCCAAACUGAAGUUUUCACCUUGUUAUGAUUAAGACAUUUUAAUGUGCCCCAUUCACCUUUGUCUUCAGGUGAAGACUUAGUCCUGAAUGGUUCAUUUGGCUCACCUGCUUGCUCUCUUACACCAUCCAGCCUGUAUUUCCACGCAACUCUCUUUCUUGGGGAACCACAUACAAAAAUCUCAGGAAACAGUGAGCUUAAUUGGGACCCUGGUUAAUAGUUUCACCUGAAAAAAUAUGUUUCUUAAAAAAUCAUAUAUGGCUUCACUGUGCAGAUUUUCUUGUCAGUAAACUCUUAGCAAUGAAUUGCAUUAAUGGCACUCCUCUUAAAUGUUGAAAGCAAAUGAGAAGCCAAACUAAAUAACCCAUAAAUAUCCAAUACAAGGACCCACUCUGCAUUUCUGACAAGCAUUGCUCAAGCAUGCAUUAUUUCCCAUUAAGAAAAAUAUCUCUUUUUUUAUUUGCAACACUAAAGUAGGAGAAUGCGAUCUCAUUGCAACUUAUCAUUUAGCAGACACCAAUAUUCUUAUUAUUGCAGUGGCGUAGCGUGGGUUGUCAGCACCCGGGGCAAGGCAAGUAAUUUACGCCCCCUAACCUAUGGAUUUUAGCACUCGAGUCUCUUUCACUAGAUUAGGGUGCAAGUGCACCCCCCCAGAUGUUGCGCCUGGUGCGGCCGGCCCCCCCUGCACCCCCCACGCUACGCCACUGUAUUAUUGUAAAACUAGACCUACUAUAUGCUGCUAAAUGCAUGGUGGUGGCCUGGCUACUGCAUGACACCACUGUUUUUGCAGUUCAAGGCAGAAAAACAGAUUUAUGGUGGCCACUCCAUAUUUGGCUUGGUGGGUUACGGGUUGUGAAAACCCAUUUCAAACCAUCGUCACUAAAUCUUACCCACUCAUCACAAACAUGGGUAUUCUUUUUUUCCCCCCAGUAGAAAACAUCUAAAUCUGGUGCUCUUUGACAUAAGAUGCUGUUUUUAUCAGGAUAUGUCAAAAACAGUAGUUCGUAUUAGAAAGUUUAAUAAUACUAAUACUAAUAUAGUCAUACCUCGGAAGUCAAACAGAAUCCAUUCUGGAAGUCCGUUCGACUUCCAAAAUGUUCGAAUUCCAAAGCACGGCUUCUGAUUGGCUGCAGGAAACUCCUUCAGCCAAUUGCCAGCUGUGGAAACCCUGUUGGACAUUUGGCUUCCGAAAGAACGUUCAAAAACCAGAACAGUCACUUCCAGGUAUCAAUUGUUCGGGAGCCAGAACGUUCAACUCCCAGGGUGUUCAGGAGCCAAGGUACGACUGUACUAAUAAUAUUUACAUCCGGCUUCCAGCACAUAUAAAAACAUAAUAAACCAAGAAACAUUAAAAACUUCAUGAUACAGGGCUACCUUCAGAUGUCUUCUAAAAGUUGUGUAGUUAUUUAUCUCCUUGACAUCUGAAGGGAGGGUGUUCCACAGGGAGGACACCACUGCCGAGAAGGCCCUCUGCCUGGUUCCCUGUAACCUCACUUCUUGCAGUGAGGGAACCGCCAGAAGACCCUCAGAGGUGGACGCCAGUGUUUAAUACACUACAUUUACAACUCUACAUUUAAAAAUCCAUGUUUAAAACUCUUAAAGAACAACCUGCGUUUAGAAGUUGAACUCUUAAAAAAAGCCACCCUCAUGUGAACAAGUGUUUGAUAUAUGCUUGCUACUAAAUUUAAUGGGGUAGCCAAUUUGGUUUCCAAAGACAUGGACUUUGGAGAGAGCCAAUGUGGUGCUUUCCGGUCACACAGUUCUCAUUGUUCUUAACUAUUGGCCAUCCUGGCUGAGGCUCUCCAUAAUUUCAGACACAGGACACUUCCCAGCCUUACCUAGAGAUGACAGGGAUCACACAGGUCAAUUAAACCUACCUGGAGCCCUGCACUUUCCAUGCAUGUAGGGUUCCACAGAGACCAUGGUUCUCCUGAAAUGAAAUGUUAUUCCAUCUUCCUUUCCUCCUUUCCAUGCAGCUCACUGGAUGCCAUAUUUAUUUUCUUUACAACGGGUGCUGAUGGUCUUUAUUUCCCAAUCCUUCAUCAUUGCCAUGAAAUUAUUUUCCCUUCUGGCUUUUAAAACACAAAGUUCACCUUGCGAUUUCUGUGGUCUUGAGGGUUGGCAAAUAUUCCUGACGAAUAUUUGAAAAACAUCAAGCAAGAGGCUGCAGAUGUCAGCAUCUUCUAAAAAAAAAAAAAAAGGUGGGGGGAAAUAGUCCAGUCAUGGAAAAUAUGCAGAAAUUAAAAGAGGUCUAAAAUCCACUGGCUGGACUAUGACAUGCAGGGAGUGCAUAAAGGGUUAUGUAAGAAAACAUUUCUAAAGUUGUUUAAAUGUUUAUUUUUUUAAAAGGAAAAAACCCUCAGAAUAAAUCUGCAAUGCACAUAAAUGUAUGCAUCAAUUGGAUAAACGUCAUGACAGAUGUGUUUAUGAGGAAGAAUGAAAAAAGACAAAGAAAAUACAGUGGUCUUGGUUCUCAAACGACUUAGUCCCCAAACACCAAAAACCCGGAAGUAAGUGUUCCGGUUUUCAAACGUUUUUCGGAAGUUGAACGUCCAAUGUGGCUGUCGCCUAUUGUUUCUGGGGCGCCUGCACCAAUCAGAAACUGGGCCUUGGUUUUCAAACAUUUUGGAAGUCAAACGUACUUCUGGAACGGAUUACGUUUGAGAACCAAGGUAUCACUGUAUUUGGUGCUUUUGGUUUUGCUAUUUAUUUUGUGUUUUUGUUUUUGAGGCUUUUUCGGUUAAUUUGUUUUUGUGACUGUGUGGAACCCAGUUCAGCUGAUUGAUUGAUUGUGUGACUGGAGAAAUGGAUAAAAGUCCCCCCUCCAAACAAUGACUAUCAUCAGAGCAAGUAAGAAAAUAAUAAUAAUAAUAAUUUUCAUCAUCUACAAUACUGUCUUUUUUAUUUUAUAGUACAGUACAUUGAUUAUUAGGGACGCAGGUGGCGCUGUGGGUAAAACCUCAGUGCCUAGGACUUGCCGAUCUCAUGGUUGGUGGUUCGAAUCCCAGCGGCGGGGUGCGCUUCCGUUGCUCGGUCCCAGCGCCUGCCAACCUAGCAGUUCGACAGCACCCUCGGGUGCAAGUAGAUAAAUAGGGACCGCUUACUAGCGGGAAGGUAAACGGCGUUUCCGUGUGCGGCUCUGGCUCUCCAGAGCAGCUUCGUCACGCUGGCCACGUGACCCGGAAGUGUCUGCGGACAGCGCUGGCUCCCUGCCUAUAGAGUGAGAUGAGCGCACAACCCUAGAGUCUGUCAAGACUGGCCCAUACGGGCAGGGGUACCUUUACCUUUACAUUUUAUGGAUCAAUGGUCUCGUUAGAGAGUAAAAUUCAUGUUAAAUGGCUGUUUUAGGGGUUGUUUUUAAAAGUCUGGAAUGGAUUAAUCCCUUUUGCAUGACUUUCUAUGGGAAAGCAUGCCUUGGUUUUGGAACGCUUUGGUUUUGGAACGGACUUUUGGAACGGAUUAAGUUUGAGAACCAAGGUACCACUGUAUUCAUAGAAUCACAGAAUUGCAGAGUUGGAAGGAACGCCUAGGGUCAUCUGGUACAACUCUCUGCAAUGCAGGGAUCGCAACGAAAGCAUCCUUGACAGAAGACCAUCCACAUCACUUGUGCAAGUUGUAUCAUUGUGCAGGCUGCGUGUGUAUCAUGUGCAGGUCGUGUGGCCCUGGCCCCCUCAAUUGUGGGGGCAAGCUGGUGCGCCUGCGUUGCAGUGCAUGCUUGGUUGUGAUGUGUCUUUCUCCAGUUUGCAAACACACCACCUCGGGCCUAGCGAUAUUAGGGGCCUCCUGCUUUAGCAAGUUUGGCCAAUGUUUCAGCCUGCAGAUAUUGCUGGACUAAAACUUCCCCCAUCCCCCUGACCACUGGCUGUGUGGCCUGCGACUGAUGGGAUCCAAGAAGGUUGAAAAGUCUCCAUGACGGAUAGACCUCAUAUACAGGGGCAGAGCAUGAGCUUUCCAAUGUCCCCAGUCCGAUCCCUGUCACCUCCCAGUAUAUCAUUCUGGGAUGAUAUAUAAUGAACUGAAAAAAAGGUUGAAAAUAACUUGUGUUAAAAAAAACAAGAAGCUUUUUUAUUAGGAAUUUAAGGUACUGACAUUCCAAAGGAAUAGAAAAUACUCUUUAUGUAUGCGACAACAGCCGCAUGGAUACUGCUAGCCCAGAGAUGGAAAGAAGAAAGAGUCCCUACCGGAUAGGAAUGGCAAACUAAGCUGAUGGACUCUGCUGAAAUGGCAAAGUUGCCUGGAAAGCUCAGGAGCCAAGAGGACGAAAACUUCAAGAAAGAAUGGGGGGAAAUUAUAAUUGACUUAGGAGACCACUGUAAGCAGAUAAAAACAUUAGCAGGACUUGUAACGUAACAGGUAAUAUGGACAAUAUGGAUGAAUAUAAAAUAUACCGUACUUUUCCGUGUAUAAGACUAGGUGUUUUUUUACUGAAAUAUUAUGUUUAAAAUCUUUGGGCAAUCUCCCCCCAAAAUAGAGGGUGUAUUAUACAUGGGGGCAUGUUAUACAUGGAAAAGUAUAAGACUAGGUGUUUUUUUUACUGAAAUAUUAUGUUUAAAAUCUUUGGGCAAUCUCCCCCCAAAAUAGAGGGUGUAUUAUACAUGGGGGCGUGUUAUACAUGGAAAAGUAUGGUAGAUUAUGAAAUAAGAUGUAGCGGAAAAUGUUCACAUUAGGACCCAUGGAAGGUGAAGUUGCGAGAUUCAGAGAAAUCUCUUCAUGUGGAUAUGUACUGUGUAUUAUUAUAAACUCAUUUUUGUAAAAUCUAAUAAAAAUGUUUUUUUUAAAAGGGAUCUUAGCAGUGCUGUUUUUCUAGAAAAAGAGGUGUCAGAGAGAGGUGUCAACCUCUCUCAUUCUCUUAGAAUGGCAAUAGCGCCACAACGCACCUGACAGGUGCUGGAACUCAGUUCCGGUGAGUUCCGGCUGAAAAUAACGCCCGGAUCUUAGUGAGGGGGACAUCGAAAACUAAUGCCAGUCAAAUAAGUGCUGAUUAGUUCAUUGCUCCAAUGUCUGGCCCAGUGCGAAGCAGAGUCAGAUGUCGUUCAAACGAAAGAGAAACACUCUGGCUGUAAUGUAUAGCCCAUUAUGAAAUGGUUCUCAUCUGCUUUUUAUCUCACAUUAACCAACGCAGGUGACAGAUUCCAGACGAAAAGCCAUUCUGAAUGCAUUAGUUGGAAGCCGAGUCAGUGCACUGCACCCCCCCCAAGAGGUCUAUGCACUUGUUAAAAUAUUAAGAAAGACACACUUGUUAAAAAAAGGGGGCUGUUCUUUCACGAGCCCCCUUAAGGAAUAUGAAAACGCCACCCUCCUAUGGACUCGGGUUAACACUGUUGCAUUGAGAGCCGACGUUGCUCAGUUCAUUUAGAAAUGGCAAUAAACGUUUUUACUAUGGGAAUCUGGUGAAGGAAUUAGUUCAUAAAUAGGAAAUAUUUGACUGUACAUUGCCAAUCAAGUGAUGUUUACACGCUUUAGUAAGAUUUUUCAAAGAUUCAAUAUCCUUCAGCUGCGGCUCAGAGUAAACAGUUUGUGAAACAUGCCAUUUAAAAAAAUUAAAAAAAUAAGAGGAAAAUUGUAUGAUUAAGGAAUUAUUUGUUUGUGGAAAUUAUGUUCUCACUCUCAAGGGAUCCUAAUGCUGACUUUUUAGUUGUUGCACUGUUCAUUUGAAAGAAAAGCCUUAAUAUAUGAAGAUGUUUUUUGUCGUUGUUUGUUUCUUGGAACCAGCAGGCUUAUGCUGCUGAUUUCCCUGCCUGUCAGAAGACUUUUAUUUUAUUUUUAAAAAUUUAUAAUCUAUUCUCCUUCCCAUAGGAGCACCGGGGGGGGGGGGUAGCAAACACACACACAAAAAUAAAGCAAUGCAGUUAAAAAAUAAACACAUAUUUUAAACAUUUGAACACAAUUAAAAAACCCUAUCUAAAAUACUCAUAGUGGAAACCAAAAGCUUUUCAUUUGAAAAGUUUAGUGGAGUUGAGACAGCAUGAUCAGAACAUGAGAAGAUAUGUCCUGUAUCAUGUCAAUGGCCUAUGUAAUCGAGCAUCUUUUCCCACAUGGCCAACCAGAUGCCCAGGGGAAGACCACAAGCAGCGCAUGAGAGCAAUAGCCCUCUUGUGUUGUUGUUCCUCAGCCCUUGGUAUUCAGAGAUAUGGUACCUCUGAUGCUGUAGGUAGCAUGAAGCCAUCAUGAUUAGAAGCCACUGGCAGCCUUCUGCUACAUGAAUUUGUUCAGCCCUCUUUUAAAGUCUUCUAUAAGAAUAUAGAAGAAUAUAUACCUGGACCUUUUGCUGGUUGAAAAGCUUCUUACCUUCAAUUCCAGUACCCAGUGGUGGGCUGUAUAUAAGGAGCACUCGGGAACAAAAACACACUCUUACCAACUUUUAGAGCUGCUAGAUGCUCAUCAUCAUGAAAAGCAUGGUUGUAAUAAUUGCAAGGGAACAGCAUUAGCUUUUUUUGCUGAUGCAUCUUGCUGUUGACUCAGGUUCAGCAUGUGGUCCACCAAGACCCCUAGAUCCUUUUCACAUGUCUUCUUCUUCUUUGGCGAUCACUCGUAGCCGAGUAAGAUAGUCUUCCACAAACACGGUUUUAACAAUGAGUCCGUAAGUGACUGUGGAGGCCAAUUCUGGAUCCACAUGUCCUUCCACAGUGGGGACAUUGGUUUCCUGGCGGGAGUUGAUCAUGGUGUGGAUUUGCCAAGCGUGCCUUCCUCAGACCACGUUUCUCCCUUGUGUCCUGAGUUCAAGUGUCUUCAAAACCCAUGACACCUUUGGUAAAGGCUGUUCUCCAACUGGAGUGCUUGCAGGCCAGUGUUUCCCAGUUUUCAGUGUUUAUAUUACAUUUUUUAAGAUUUGCCUUGAGACAGUCUUUAAACCGCUUUUGUUGAACACCAGUAUUAUGCUUUCCAUUUUAUCUAUGCAUCUGUGCUGAAGUUGUAAGCUUACUGUAUUCACUAUAUAAGAGGGUCUCUGAGGAACCUCUCAUGCUCAACUGAUCACAGCGCAUAGUCCAGUCCUAGCCAAUGAGUUGUUGUUGUUGUUGUUGGUUGUUGUUGUUGUUAUUAAGGCAUUUUUACAACACAUACACACCAUACAAUAUUCAUCUUUAUCUCCUGGACUUCCCAGUCCAUCUCUCCCUGGUAGUCUUUUGUCUAGGUAGUCUUUCUAGGCAGUCAUUGUGAUCUAGGCAGUCUUUUGUCUACUGGACAAUCUGUUAUUCCACCCAUUUUUGUCUCAAAUCUUCCUUUAUUUAAUAUUAUUUGCUGCUCAUAUGUUCAUUCCUACUUGUAGGUUAAACUGACUAUUAUACCCUCUGAGAUACUCUUCAAAACACUUCCGCUCAUCUCUUAUCUGUGACUCAUUCUUAUUUCUUAGUUUUGCGGUCAUAGUUACUAAUACUGAGUUUUAUUACCUUUCAAACCCGUGACAAUCUGCUGUCACUGACUUGUUCAGUAACUCCGGGGAGGUGGGGAGGAGCUGGGUGAAAGGCCUUCCCCCCCAGUUAGAAUGAAUAGCACAUCUAAUGUUUCUUGCCUUUCAAGUCUUUUAAAAGUUGAAUAAAAUCACUAAAAGACACGCACACAAAUCAGCAUACAACCCAGUGGACAAGGGAUCCGGCUUGUAUAGAAAUCCUGAUUGAAAGAUUUAUCUUCUGGAAAAAAUCCAUGGAGAUAAAGUGGCCAGAUAAGAAAGGAUGGAAUAGCAUACAGUAGGCAAAACAGGUUUUUGUGAAAUGCUAUUCUUUUGUCCUUUGUAUAAAAUAUUCUAAAUAGCCUCAAUGUGCAUGUUAACCGGGGGAGGGGGGGGGAUACAAGGUCCCUUCCCACAUUUGUGAUUGCUUGAAAUGUUCAGCAUAAUGUUGGGAAGGGAAUCAUAGAAUGCACUCUUUCUGCACCACCUGAGAAACACUUGGAAGUAGAAAUAUGGAAAAAUCAUAAAUGCUGUGCAGACAUCUUUGCAAUGGGCAUAAUCAGGCAGUGAAGGGGAAACUGGAAUUGCACUCAUUGGUCCUGAUCGCAGGAUUCGUGUGGAUAUGCAGGUCGGUUCUCUCUGAAUGGUUCAUCCCAAGUGGUUUUGCGGGUGUGAAUCAUGUGGAGACAGUUUACACAGACACAGCUGAAAUGCAUGGUGAUAUCGCUUACAAGGUACAAUCAGCAAUGGAGGGUGAAGAUGGGAAGCAAUCCUACUCUCCCUGCCUGCGUUGAACAUUUGCACAAAUUAAAAAAUAUAUAUCCCUACGAAACACAGAUGGAACAACUGAUUGGUUCAAAAUUGGGAAAAGAGUACGACAAGGCUGUAUAUUGUCUCCCUGCUUAUUUAACUUAUAUGCAGAAUUCAUCAUGCGAAAGGCUGGGCUGGAUGAAUCCCAAGCCGGAAUUAAGAUUGCAGGAAGAAAUAUCAACAACCUCAGAUAUGCAGAUGACACAACCUUGAUGGCAGAAAGUGAGGAGGAAUUAAAGAACCUUUUAAUGAGGGUGAAAGAGGAGAGCGCAAAAUAUGGUCUGAAGCUCAACAUCAAAAAACCGAAGAUCAUGGCCACUGGUCCCAUCACCUCCUGGCAAAUAGAAGGGGAAGAAAUGGAGGCAGUGAGAGAUUUUACUUUCUUGGGCUCCAUGAUCACUGCAGAUGGUGACAGCAGUCACGAAAUUAAAAGAUGCCUGCUUCUUGGGAGAAAAGCAAUGACAAACCUAGACAGCAUCUUAAAAAGCAGAGACAUCACCUUGCAGACAAAGGUCUGUAUAGUUCAAGCUAUGGUUUUCUCAGUAGUGAUGUAUGGAAGUGAGAGCUGGACCAUAAAGAAGGCUGAUCACUGAAGAAUUGAUACUUUUGAAUUAUGGUGCUGGAGGAGACUCUUGAGAGUUCCAUGGACUGCAAGAAGAUCAAACCUAUCCAUUCUGAAGGAAAUCAGCCCUGAGUGCUCACUGGAAGGAUAGAUCCUGAAGCUGAGACUCUAAUACUUUGGCCACCUCGUGAGAAGAGGAGACUCCCUGGGAAAGACCCUGAUGUUGGGAAAGAGAAGGAGAAGGGGAUGACAGAGGACAAGAUGGUUGGACUGUGUUCUUGAAGCUACUGUACCAGCAUGAAUUUGACCAAACUGCGGGAGGCAGUGGAAGACAGGAGUGCCUGGCGUGCUCUGGUCCAUGGGGUCAUGAAGAGUUGGACACGACUAAACGACUAAACAACAACAACAAUGAAACACAGAAUAUCUUUAGCUCAAUGCUGAUUCGACGCUUCUUAUUCUGCUAACCAUGGUUAAGAGAUCAGGUGUUCUAUGGGCUCCAUUCUUUCCUUCCUCGUUGUUCUUCCCAUCUUAUGUGUCAAUCACUAUAGCUCUCAUUGUAGAGCUAGCUGUGGUGUAGCGUUACCUCGGCGCCAGCACUUCUGCUAACCAUGGUUAGCUCCGAAAGCUCUGUUUGCAGGUGUUAAAACACUAGCUUGCAUUGCACUUUGCUCCCAUUGUAAUUAAACUCCUUCCCCCUUUUCAAGGCUCCCAGAAUGUUUGACAGCAAAGGACAAUGUUAAACAACUAAGGAAGAGGUUUUCAAACGCUGGAAAUAUUUCAGAGAAUUAUUGUAACACUCAGAAAAUGUGUUUUUUAACCACCUUUGGAUAGGCAUGCAUGUUUAGAAAGUGUUCUCUUUGCUCUUCCCCUUGCCUCUGUUCUAUUAAAGGUCUUUAUUGCAAGUCAUUAAGUAUUACAGCAAAUCCUGCCUUUAUUUGGUAUAAAUGGGUGGCUUGGCCAACAUAUCUGACAUGACUUUUGUUAAACAACACCAUUUACUGUAUUGUUCAACAGGAUCCACAUUUAAGGGCUGAAUGCUUGUGGCGCUGUGGUCUAAACCACUGAGCCUCUUGGGCUUGCCGAUCGCAAGGUCGGCAGUUCAAAUCCGCAUGACGGGGUGAGCCCAACGUUUGUUCUCUCCCAGCUCCUGCCAACCUAGCAGUUCGAAAGCAUGCCAGUGCAAGUAAAUAAAUAGGUACCACUGCAGCGGGAAGGUAAACAGCAUUUCGGUCAUGGUGUCCCAUUGCGCCAAAAGCGGUUCAGUCAUGCUGGCCACAUGACCCGGAAAGCUGUCUGUGGACAAAUGCAGGCUUGAAAGCGAGAUGAUCGCCACACCCCAUAGUCGCUUUGACUGGACUUAGCGGUCCAGGGGUUAUUUACCUUUACCUUUCACCUGCUUUUUUUUAAUUAAUUUGACUUGUUGAUUCUCUGGGCCCAUAGUCAGUGUUGCACAACCUGUUGAUUAGAUGUGAUCAAUAUAUUCAAAGUGAAUUUUUAGAGUUUGGUCCUUUGUAAAAACAGGGCUUUUUUCCAGCUUGAACUCAGUACCAGCACCUCUCAGUUGGGUGCCAUUGCAAUUCUAGGAGAAUGAGGUGAGUUCAUGGUGAGUUCUGGCACCUCUUUUUGUCGAAAAUCAGCAUUGAUCAUACCUUUUGACAGCCACAUUGAAUCAGCUGAACCUUGGAGUUGCUGAGAAGGGAAGGUUUUAACACAUACACUAUUCCUGAUGCAGCCUAAAUGAGUGUGUAAUAAUAAUAAUAAUAAUAAUAAUAAUAAUAAUAAUAAUAAUUUUAUUAUUUAUAUUCCGCCCAUCUGGCUGGGUUUCCCCAGCCACUCCAGGUGGCUUACAGCACAUAAAAAAUGGUAAAACAUUAGACAUUGAAAAUUUCCCGAUACAGGGUUGCCUUCAGAUGUCUUCUAAAAGUCAGAUAGUUGUUUAUUUCCUUGACAUCAGAUGGGAGGACGUUCCACAGGGCAGGCACCACUACUGAUAAGGCCCUCUACCUGGUUCCUUGUAACCUCACUUCUCACAGUGAGGGAACCGCCAGAAGGCCCUCGGCAUUGGACCUCAGUGUCCGGGCUGAACGAUGGGGUGGAGACGAUCCUUCAGCUAUACUGGGCUGAGGCCAUUUAGGGCUUUCAAGGUCAGCACCAACACUUUGAAUUGUGUUUGGAAAUGUACCAAUGUAGAUCUUUCAGGACUGGUGUUGUAUGUUUUCAAUGUGUGCUGAAUGGAGGUGUUCAUUGUGCAUCUGGGUAUAUGUCUCCAUGUACGUUUGUUGAAUGUGUGCAUGUGUUAAUGGCGCCAGCAUCAGCCACCCCCGCCAGCCUUACCCACUGGCAUGCAGGUCUCGAGCAUCAAGCUACUGCCACAUGGGACUCUCAGGGUCCAGAUAUCUACACUCUCCUGGGAUACUUCCACCCUGAGAUGUGACUUUAGGUACAGUUCGCAGCACCUUGAGCAUCAAAAGCCUGCAUUGCCAUAGAGUGUUGCCCAUCAGUGCUAAAGCACUCUUCUUCAGUUUAUAUUUUCUUGAUUAUUUUACAUGUGUCGUUAAUGUUUGGUUAUAAGCCUAUCUUACAGGCCUCUCUUGUGAAAUGCUGGAAAUAAACAGUAUUUUAUUUACCGCAGGAAAGUUCCACACUGGAAGCGUUGACAUGGUCUGUAAUUAUGGCCAUCUGUACCCAACCCAGGGGGAACCUCUAAUUUUCUAGUUUAUGUAAUUUAAUUUUUAACUGCAUAGCAAAAGAGAGAGAGAGAGAGAUUUUCACUGAGAAAUGAACUCUAAUUAUAAAGCAAGCAGACUGAAUCAUUUAAAUAAGCAAAUAAUGUUCUAUUCUAAACUUUCCUCUUUUUUUUUUUUUUUUGGAGGGAAAAAAAAUGACCCUUGUAGGAAUGGCUCCAAUAUUUUACAAAGAAAAUACUUCCCCUAAUUAAAAUUAGCUAGCUAUUUGUUCAGGGAUUUGGGGUCAAUUAUGCUCACUAAGGGUUUUGAAAGACAACCAUAUGUUGACAUGCCCUUGGCUUCCUGUAGUUCUGUAAUGGUAUCUCACUAUUUUACUUUUUUCAUAUUUAAUAUUCAAUUAGCUAGUAAGUGUCCAGAAACAGGAGGGCAUUGACUUUUCAGAGUCUGAAAGAUUGACUUUUUUUCUUUUUAAGUACAGUGGUGCCUCGCAAGACGAAAUUAAUUCGUUCCGCAAGUCUCUUCGUCUUGCGAGUUUUUCGUCUUGCGAUGCACGGUUUCCCAUAGGAAUGCAUUGAAAAUCAAUUAAUGCGUUCCUAGGAAACCGCCUUCAGACCAGGUCCGGGGACAGUCUGUCCCCGGACCUCUUCUGAAGGCUGGGGGGGCACGGGCUUGUCUUCCCACCCCCAGCAUUUUAAAACCCGGGACAGCGGAGGACUUCUCCGCUGUCCGGGCGAUCUUAAAAUGCUGGCGGGCGGCAUUUAAAAUCACCCCGGGACAGCGGAGGACUUCUCCGCUGUCCGGGGCAAUUUAAAGCCCCUGGGAAGGCAGGCAGGGGGACAAGACUUUGCCCCGCCAGCCUUCAGAAGAGGUCCUGGACCUCUUCUGAAGGCGGGCGGGGGCGAAGUCUUGCUCCCCCGCCUUCAAAAGCCCUCCGGGACAGGCAGGCAGGGGGAGCAAAGACUUGCGCCCCCGCCCGCCUUCAGAAGGUCUUCCCUCCCCCCGCCCGGCUCGGAGCACCGUUCCGAGCCGGGCGGCGGCGGAGGUCUUCCCUCCCCCCGCCCGGCUCGGAGCACGUUCCGAGCCGGGCGGCGGCGGCAGGUGUUCCCUCCCCCGCCCGGCCGGAGCACCGUUCCGAGCCGGGCGGCGGCGGCAGGUGUUCCCUCCCCCCGCCCGGCCGGAGGAGCCUUCCGAGCCCGGCGGCGGCGGGAGGAGGUGUCCCCGCCCCGCCGCCAGGCUUCGGAGGAGGUCCGAGGACAGUGGGAAGACGCGCUGCGCUUCCCGCUGUCCCUGAGAUUUCCCUAUGGGCUGUCGUCUUGCGAAGCAAGCCCAUAGGGAAAUUGCGUUUAUGAGCGCCUCCAAAACGGAAAACCCUUUCGUCUAGCGGGUUUUCCGUCUUGCGAGGCGUUCGUCUUGCGGGGUACCACUGUACAACCUGUUUUUAAAUUAGCCUUUCUUGUGACUCUUGCGGCAUCUGGCAUUCUUUAGGCCAGAUAUCACCAAUCCGAUGCCCAGAGACAUCAAUAUUCUCUCUUUAUAUAUACAGUGGUACCUUGGGUUAAGUACUUAAUUCGUUCCGGAGGUCCAGUUCUGAAACUGUUCUUAACCUGAAGCACCACUUUAGCUAAUGGGGCCUCCUGCUGCUGCCGCGCCACCGGAGCACAAUUUCUGUUCUCAUCCUGAAGCAAAGUUCUUAACCUGAGGUACUAUUUCUGGGUUAGCGGAGUCUGUAACCUGAAACAUAUGUAACCUGAAGUGUGUGUAACCUGAGGUACCACUGUAAUUUUAUUCCAAGUUGCUUGAACUCAGUGGGUCUUUUCAGUGAGGUACCACUGUAUCUAUAUAUUUUUUAUUCAGUUUUACACUAUACAUUUGAAUUCAAACAUUAAUCAUAAUAAUUUAGGAUUCCCUGAUUCCUUAGACUUCCCUCCACGGUUUCCAUUAUCAAACUUUUUCUACUGCAUCAUAUAUUUUCUCUGUUUUCUUAAGAUAAUCCAUUUUUACCUUAGUUUUUAAUGCAUUACAAGCGUUACUCAAAUCCCGCCAAAGUUUUUAGUUCUUUACAGCGUUUUCUUAAGUAAACUGUAAUCCCCCCCCGCAUUUCUUAUUAAAUUUCUAUCUUCUUGGUUUCUGAUUUUCAUGGUCAUUUUCACCAUUUCGGCGUUGUCUAUCAUCUUCAUCAACCAUUCAUCUCUAGUUGGGACUUUAUAUUCUUUCCAUCUCUGCGCUGCUGUCGUUGCAUACGUAAAUAAUCGUUUCUGCUCCUUUGGUACCAAAAGAUACCAGAGACAUUAAUAUUCUCAGAAGUCUCAGAGAAUUCGUACUAAAAUAGGAAAAGCUAGCAUUUUGGUGCCAAUGAUAUCAUGUGGGCACUGCAAAACAGCUGCAUCCAUGAAGAUCAGCAACUCCAGAAUAAACAUCCAUCCCGAAGCACCAUCGCCUUGAAUUUCCCUACCUUUUCGCCUUUAGAAAUGCUUUAAAGAGAUUUUUGUGUAUUGCUGCUGCCGCCGCCAUUUUGUUUGCAUUAAAUUUAAUGCUGCAGUCUGGGGGUGGGCUACAAAUGAACUUAUUUGAAAAUGAAUGCAGAAAUAGAUUUGUGACAUUGUAGCCAGCUGGGAGGAGCUAAGUUAAACUGAAAAGCUGUGUACGUUUCACUUCCAUUGGGGGCACAGAUGAAGCAAUGUUGUUUAUUUCUUUAAAAAAAGUUCACGUGGGCAGAGUACCUAGGAAUGCUUAUGUUAAAACAAACAAACCAGUAUUCGUGAAAUUGACAAAAGUCCCAAAUUAGCCACCCACCCCCAAAACACCCUCCCACCCCUCUGCAGUUAGUGGAGAGAUAUUCAGGGAAAUUGAGAAGCCUGGUGAUUUAAACAGGUGCAAAGAAAAUCUUUGUUAAUUUCACCAUUGCUUAAAAACACACAAAAGACCCAGUUCUGAAUGGGUUUUUUCAAGGUGUGAGGCUGAGGAAUGGGGGAGAUUGUCAGGGACUGGGCAGAAGAGGAAUGGUAGAGAUCGCCUCCCCAUCCAGACCCUUCCAGGGAGGAGGAAGAGGAAGACAGUAUAGAUUUACAGCAGGGGUUUGAGGGAGGUUGCAGCUCAGAGGCACAUGAGGGGGAAAACUGGGAAAUCAUGGGAGAGCUAGAACAACACCCGGCUGACACAUUGUCAUUAGAAAGCUUUCCAGACCCUCCAUCUCACAGAACCUGGCGAGCCUUAAAAGUAGGAGAGCAAAGAGCUCAAAGACAGAGGGCACAUAGCAGCACCCGCAGAGGAAGUGAUAAUGAUGAUGAAUGAGGAACUGGGAUAGAAGGAGGGUGAAGGUUCACUCGGGACAACGCCAUUAUCCAAGAGGCUGGGUUCCAAAGCCUCUCUCUAUCAAGAUUGGAAUAAAAAAGGACUGUAAGAAACUUUCCCUUGUCUUUAUACUUUCCUGGGCAACUAGCUGGGAGCCGCUGACAGCAUCUUGAUAGAGAUGGGUAUUGUUGCCAUAUUUCCAAAGUGAAUAGCCGGAGAAAGUUGUUGAGCAUUCCUCCCCCCUCAAAAUUGUUGAGCUUUUGUGGGGGUACAUUUCACCCCAAGCCAAAAAGAACAUUUUUGGGCUUUCCCCUGUUUUUUAUAAGGAUUUUAUUUUUAACCCUUGCUAUAUGUUCGGGUUUCCCCAGACAUUUUGCAGACAAUUCAGCAGAAAUCCGCCCGGACACAAAAUGAUUGCCCCAUUCCUGGAUCUGUCCUGGAAAAACAGGAUAUAUGGCAGCCCUAGAGAUGGGGGAUUUAGCUUUCAGUAUGUGGCUUGAAGACUGAGAUAAAAUGGAGAAAGAGGGCCACACACACACACUUGUGUUUUAUGAGGAUCAUGACUAUUGUGUUUUAUAUUUUCUUUUCCUAUAUUAGUCUUUUCUUUUGAUAUAUUGCCUUUUAUUAUCUUUCUACAAAAGAGUUUGGAUUUUAUUGCUUAAUAUGUUGAAACCUCUAAUGAAAGCUGCUAUAUAUAUAUGAAAAAACACACACCAAAAAAAGGCAAACGAUAAGCGCCAUUAGAGCAGUGGACAGAGUGGCUUUCCCUGGAGACAGGGAUUGCAUUCCGUGCUGUCAGCAAGCACAUCAUAAAGCACUUCUCCACACCAGGCAAGAAAAUAGCACCCAAGUCACUCUAUAUCCGAAUGGAUUGUACUGCAAUUCUGGUGGAAGUUAAAAAACAAAGUCAUGCAACCCCAAAAAACAUAGUACAAGAGAAAAAUCCAUAGGAAUGCAAAAUGGCAAAGGUCACCUCGGUUCUGUAGUAUAGAAACAAUGGGGUGUAUGGUGUCACUAAUGGGUGGGUGAGGCAGUUCAGGUGAAUGAUGGGCAGGAUUACUGGGUGCUAGCUGCUAGUAUAAUGAUUAUGAGAGGGUUAAAGAAAUUAGCAGCAGCUAUAACUUUAAACGAAGGAUGCGGGUGGCGCUAGGGGUAUGGGUGGUGCUAGGGACAUGGGUGGCACUGUGGUCUAAACCACUGAGCCUAGGGCUUGCCGAUCGGAAGGUCGGCGGUUCGAAUCCCCGCGACGGGGUGAGCUCCCAUUGCUUGGUCCCAGCUCCUGCCAACCUAGCAGCUUGAAAGCAUGCAAGCGCAAGUAGAUAAAUAGGUAACGCUCCAGCGGGAAGGUAAAUGGCGUUUCCAUGUGCUGCUCUGGUUUUGCCAGAAGCGGCUUAGUCAUGCUGGCCACAUGACCCGGAAAAAAUAUCUGCGGACAAACGUCAGCUCCCUCGGCCAGUAAAGCAAGAUGAGCGCUGCAAUCCCAGAGUCGUUCAUGACUAGACUUAACUGUCAGGGGUCCUUUACUUUAAAAUAUAUAUAUCUAUAUAUAUAUAUAUAUACACACACAGACAUACACUUUAAACUGGUUGAAGAGAGGGAAACUUUUUCCAUAUGUGGUGGGCAUGAGGAAAUGUAAAAGAAUAUUGGGAAAUGAUAAAUAAUGAGAUGAAAAAAAAUGUUCUAACAACCUCCCCCGAAAAAAAACCCCAGAGGCAUUUUUGUUAGGUAUUAUUCAGACAGAGGUUCCCAGGAGUCACUCUGUGUGCCACAAAUCUGUUAACGCAAAAAAAUGAACCGCUUCUGUUUCCUGGAGUUAGUAAAGGUUCUGGAAUCGGUCUCUUCAAUCCCCGUGGAAAGGGCAGAUCAACAUAUCGCGUGCCAUGUUUUCCACCUAAAGUUGGCCACGUAUACAGCGUAUGUUUUCGCAUGGAAUGCUGUACUUAAUAUAUUGAUAGCAGCACCGUGAACUGUCCUAACUGCAGCUUUCAGAUCAAAUGCAAGGGAAACCCCAUAUAGAAUGCAUAUAAUCUGCGGGAAUAUUUUAAGUGUGUUUUAUAGGGCUGUGCUCAGUCCCUCAAUCCAAUGGGACCUGACAUGGCCUGAGACAGGGGUCAGCAAACUUUUUCAGCAGGGGGCCAGUCCACUGUCCCUCAGACCUUGUGGGGGGCCGGACUAUAUUUUGAAGAAAAAUAAUAAUGAAUGAAUUCCUGUGCCCCACAAAUAACCCAGAAAUGCAUUUUAAAGAAAAAGACACAUUCUACUCAUGUAAAAACACGCUGGUUCCCUGACUGUCUGUGGGCCAGAUUUAGAAGGCGAUUGGGCCAGAUCCGGCCCCCGGGCCUUAGUUUGCCUACCCAUGGCCUGAGACAACACACCUGCCCUUACAGGGGCAAGAAAAGGAGACCCCCAGUUUCUUUCCUUCCUUCCUUCCUUCCUUCCUUCCUUCCUUCCUUCCUUCCUUCCUUCCUUCCUUCCUUUCUUCCUUCCCACCUGGUGCCUCACCCACUGACAGCCUCAGAUCACUGUGGGCAGUCAAAACCAUGCCAGGGUAAUCUGGGGCUGUCCCUACCCAACUUCAGAGAAGCAGCCUCCUCUAGGCAGACCAAUUUGGAAUUCAGUUGAAUCCAGUGCACAGCGCUAGGAUUUUGGCCCUUGGAACAAAAGAUUUUAGCCAAGUUUUAAAUGCUGGGGUUGUUACUUUUAAAAUGAUGAUUUUAUGAUGUGCGCGUUGAUUUUAUGUGGAUAUUUGCAUUGAUUUAUUGUUUUAGCUUUUUCUGGCCAUCUCUCUCUCUCUCUCUCUCUCUCUUUCUGACGUACUGCCCAGAAGAUGUGGUUAAUAGGCAGUCUAUAUGUGUCAAAAAUAAUAAAUAAAUAAAGUGCUGUACAGGAAGAAGUCACGAAACUGCAGAACAGACUGCAGCUUUUUCUUUUUAAAAAUUUAAACCCUUUGGGGGAGGGGUAAAACACAAAACAUUCAUACAUAUGCACAUCAUAAAACCCAUCCUUGACGAAUGGAGGGCAAAAUUUUCUCCUAUCCUAUCUGGGUGAAGAAGAAACCGAACCUAAAUAUUUUGGAGGUAGCCGAAGUGGUGGCCCUCUUAAUUCACUGUGAUUUGUGUUGUACGACUUGUCCUGUGAAAUAUUCCAGCGUCGUAACUUUGGUUGAAGAGAGAAUGUUUCCAGUUUGCCAAGGUGCCCCCAUUGUCCCGGAGAGGGAUUUCCUCUGACUCCGAUGUGAAUAAUUCUUUCGGACACUGGUAUUCCCUCGAAGCGACUGGGCUUUCACUGUGAAUCACGGAGUCUUAUGCUGUCUCGCUGAAGCCAGGGGUUGUGUUGACCUGGUGGUAACGUUGAGUUUCACUUAUCCAUUCCUUUUGUCAGCAUUGAUUCAGCAUCCCUGUGUCCUUCUGUGAAAAACGAUUACAGGAAGAAGUGGUUGCGUGGCAAGUUCCCGCCCCUCCCCAAGGUGGAAAUAAUGACGCAUGACACAAUUAUUAAGGUUAAUGGGCUAAAAAGGCCACAACUUUAUUGGUUACAGGUGAUGAGCAGUAUUGGCUUAGGCAUUGGUCCUAACCGACUAUAUCUGACUUCAACCCGUUCGCUUGAAGUCUGGGAAGGGUUAACCACCAGUAGAGGGAGUCCUGCUGAUGCACAUCAACUAGGAACUCCCCCGGGGUCACCGAUAGGGGGCAUGUCUUUGGCCCUCACCUCCCUAGGCUUCGGACAGGGCCACGGCCCCCGGAAUCCUUUAUCAGACUACCCUUCAAUAUGCGGGGCAGGUUAUGGCGUUACCUCCCCUCUUCCAUCUACAAAACUAUACCAAUGCCUAACCGCCAAUACCCAGAAAGUUGUGGCGAUUUGCUACGAGGUAGGCAAAAACCAAGUGGCUGGUGCCAAUUUGCCAAGUGGAAAAAUUCCUACCAGGCCUCUCAGCGGUGACCAACCAAGGUCCAUAGCAAGGUCAAAGACAAAACCUUAAAGGGCAGGAGGGUGGGAAAACCAAAUAGCUGCAGAGCAGCAAAGAGGAAGAUCCCCGGCCGCAUCCUGCCUUAAAUAGGGCAGGCCAUGCCCCCAGAGCCAGCCGAUUGGCUGGCCAGGUGGUGAUGCAGCAGGGAAUCCCCCCAAUCACAUGGGGGCUGGGCUGUGAAGCCUGCAACCUCACCUCCGCUGAAGGGCAGAAGUGGCUUUGAGGAAAAGCCGCCUACAAAAGAGGCUCUCGCUUGGCGCUCCGCUUAUGCAUUUGUUGUUGUUGUUGUUGGUGGUGGUGGUGGUGGGAUUAUUAUUUCUAUACAGCCCUAUACCCGAAGGUCUCAGUGCGGUUCUGUUGAGCCCCAGAAAUUGAGGAUCUGCCUCACUAUUUGUUCUUUCGUUCACUUCACUCUGAACCAAGAACCGGGAUCUAUUCUGCCUCAUCUCUAUUUCAAUACCAUUCCAGAAAAGAUUUUCUACUUUCUGCCAGACACUGAUUAUAGGGUAACUCUCAAGGUCUUUCUUAGCGGAAAUGAAAAUCCCGACAAGAGUUAUAUAGGAGAUUGCAGUUGACUGCUUUGGGGAUGCUCUUAAUUUAACCAUUAUAUAUUUUAAAAACCAAUUAUUUUUACCUGUAUCAAAAUUUACCCUUUCAAUAUGUAAGUUCUAUAUAGUAUGUUACAUGUGAUUUAUAUUGUAUGUUAAACAUACUACACCCUAUUUUCCAGAGACAGUCUCGGAUUUACAGAAGCAAGAGCCAGUUUUUGAUUUGAUCCCAGAAUGUGUCCCGCUUUUCCUUAGGUUGUCACUAUUUUCAUCAGAGAAAUGUUGGAGGGUAUGGAGUUAUGUGACCCCCGAGCCAAGGAGAUAAGUAACUAUACAACCAUUAGAAGACAUCUAAAUGCAGCCCUGUCUAGGGUAGUUUUUUUAAUGUGUUUUUAUUAGCAAUUUCAACAUAACAACAUAUCAAAACAUAUCAUAUUCAUUAUUUUCUCCCCUUUUGUCCCCCCCUCAAACCCCCUCCCCUCCCCCAGAGACUUCCCUCAGCUCCUCUCUCUAACUUCUCAGCACAUAUUAUUCUCUGCAUGUUAUAAAAUUAUACAAAUCCUUACAUUAUCUGUCUACCAUGUUAUCAAUCAAUAAAUCUGUGUAUGUUUAUUCAAAACCUGCCAACGAGUCCAAUUCAUUUUGUUGUCUUUUUAAGUAAUUUGUGAAAAGUUCCCAUUCUUCUUCUUCUUCUUCUUCUUUUAAGUCACAGUUGUCGUUAUCUCGCAUUAAUGUGUAAUGUUUGAUUAUGUUUUUAUAUAUGUUGGAAGCCACCCAGAGUGGCUGGGGCAACCCAGUCAGAUGGAUUGGGUUUAAAUAGUAAAAUUAUUAUGAUUGAAUAGGAUGUACGUAUUUUCAUGAGAGAAAUGUUGGAGGGUAUGGAAUCAAGAUCAUUGUGCCCAUUCUUGCUUUUGAUAUUCUGGUGUAUGUGUGUGUAAUAUUUUUGUACCCGUCAGUUCAGUUUUCCCAGAAUGAGGUGUCGCUAGAGAUUUCGUUUCCUCCCCAAGUGCCUCUUGCAGUCUUGGGAACGGAUCCAGAGAAAGCACGGCCACAUUUUUAUUCUUUAUCUGAGUUUGUUUAAGGAGCCGGAACGAUCCAGGACUGAAUCACAGGUCGUUUGCAGAGUCCCUGACUAGUGCCCAGCAAAUUCUAAGAAAUCUUUUAUUCCAAGGCAGUGCAGUUCUGCAAGCCUGCGGAAUUUGGCUGACCACAGGAAGCAAUUGAGAGCUUUUCCAGCCUGACCAUAUCGGCCGUCUCACCACAAGAACGUCCUAUUUUGGCUCCGUCCCUUCAAUCAACUCAAGGUUGUGCCUCUCGUGAUCUGCAGGGCCGAGUUUAAGGAGAGCUUGUUGGCUCUCUGUUUAUGAAGUAGCCCUUGCUUAACACAAGCUCUCCUUUCUUGCAUCAGAACAGCUCCUGUUUGCUUUAUUAAAUGCUGGCUAAUUUUCCAAAGGAGCAUAAACGGCUUCCAUUACAUCUGAAUACUUAAAGAAAAAAGAAAAAGAAAAAUCUAUUGCGAAUCCACUUACGUUAAAUACAGAAAACAGAGAGUCAAUUGAAUAAUAGAGGAAAAACACACCCUCCCACCUCUGCUUCUGUAAAUUAAUAUGGCCCAGUUCAAACACUUGCCUCGCCAAGGAUUGUAAGUUUUGUGGUGGAGGAAGGAGACCUGCAUGCUAGGAAGACAGGGAGCUACCUUACACUGAGUCACAACAUUGGCCCAUUUAGCUCAAUAUUGUCUGCACGGACCAACAGCAACUUCUUGGGGUUUCAGAAAGGGGUCUCUCUCAGCCCUACCUAAAGAUGGCAGGAUUGAAUCUCAGAUUACCUGAGUGAAAAGUGUGUGCGUUAGCUCUGUGCUAUGGUCUUUUCUCUACUUCUGAGUAGACCUACCUGUCAGGCAGCGUGGCGCAGUGGUUUGAGUGUUGAAUGAGGAAUAAGGAGAUCCUAGUUGAAGUUCUUACUCAUCCACCAAGCUCCCUGGGUGACAUAGUGUCUCAUGUGGGAGAAGAUUGCAUGAUCCUCCAUGAAAUAGACUCCCUGCACCUAGAAAGUUAGCAUAUCAGGGGACAAGCUAGGAUUACCCCGUUCCCUGGUUUGCUAUAUUUCUGUAGGCAAUGAACUCAAUUUGUGUUUUUGGGUGGGUAUAUAUGUUUAGGUCAAAAUCUGUUAUCCCUAACUCACAGUCCAAAAUAGUACAGCCCACAUGAUUCUCCUGAAUGUAUAAACUGGUGCUAACUUCCUUUGGAUAAGGGCCAAUAUAUAUGGAGCUGGACUGAAGCAUUAAGCCAUAAUUAUCUUAUAAUCAGUUGCUCUGACUUCCGUGGUACAUAAGGUAACCGUGGAUUGUUAAAUGCAAACAUUUGCAGAAUAAAUUGAGUUCCUUUGUUCCGAACAAUUCUCUGAUCCAGUGCUCUUUCCUAAGGUGCAGUAAAUUUUCCUCCAUGACAUUUAAAAAGCCAGGCCUGACAUUUUUCAUCUUAAUAGCCAGGACAAUGUUUCUUAUAUUUCCAAAUCUUUCCAUAUGUUACAGCUUAUGGGAUAUAAACAACGAAUGUUAGGCUCGUAGAUCUCCUGACGAUGUUUUUCCUCCUCAGUUUGCCCGAAGAUUUAAGGUUUUCAGACAUUGCUAUGGAUUAUAUUAUUAUAUUUGUUUUCCACCAUUCCUUUAAGGAGCCCAGGACGUGAAGGAAGUUGCUCCAUUUUAUUCUCAUAAUUGUCCUGGGGAGGCAGGUUAGGUUAAUGAUUUGUCCCCAGGGCUACACAAUGAAUUAUAUGGCUUAGUGACAAAUCGAAUUCCUAUUCUCCCCAAUUUAAGUCUACUGUUCUGUCUCAUGCACUCCCAAUCCUCAUCUAAUGCUUUGUCCGCUAUCUCCAUAUACAGCCAGGACCCAGAAGUGCAGUGGGACAGAGUUGCUCUGGUAGCUUCCAGACAGUGGGUUGCUGUUGCUUACCAGGGACUCGGCUACACAGCUGCACAUAAAACAUUUCAAAUGCGUUGCAAAGUGCAAUAUACAAAGCUGACACUGGAUGGCGACAGUGAGCUAUGCAAAAUUCAAUGCAUUUUUCAAAACGUUUUAAAAUAAAACAUUCUCACAGCAUUUUUUUUAAAAAAAUAUGUGUGUAGAUUCCACCCAGGUUGCUGCAGUGCAGACGCAGUGGAAGGAGCAUCAGGUUGGUGAGUUUGCACCAUGCCAACCUCCCUGCUGUCUUGCCCCCUUGCCAGUAAGCCACAGUAACCCACUUGUUUCUGGAGCCUUUACAUCCAGAUAUUAAUUUUGAGCAACUCAGUUUAUUUGUUCUUCUGUUGCUUUGCAAGCUUUGUUCAUCCAACCAGGGGCAUAUUGUGGGCAGGUCCAAAGGCCACAUGUUUUUGAGGGGGCACGAGCCAGGUGGCCCUACACAGGAAGCUCUGCCCAGCCUGCCACCGGGGGUCUCUGGGCUCCGGAGCCUGGCCUGGCCUUGCUGCUGCAUCCCUGGCACCCUUGCAGAAUGGCCACCCAGCUAGUGUUGGGGGGAUGCCCCCGUCAAGGGCUGCAUCGGCCAGCCGGGCUCCCCCCUGCAUGGGCAGGCAGGCGGCAUAUUGCAGCAUGGCCCCAUGAACCCUCUGUGCCCUGUGCCCACCCGGUGGUACAGAGUUGGGCUGGCAAGGUGGGUUUUGUUUACCCUCUGCUCCCAGCACCUGGUCCCACUUGGUGCAUGUACACACAUGCGUGAGCUCCAGACAGUGGCAACGGAUGCAACGCCGCUACUUUCAAAGCCCUAUUUCAGAUACCAAAACCUCUUCAGAUUUAUUUCCAUUCAGUACCUGAGUUUGUGGACUGUGGGGAUUUGGUUUCAUAUCUUUGGCCCAUCCUGGUCAGAAGCAGAGGAGCUGGUACAUGCAGGAAUGUUGGGGGCACAUGGGAGGGUGUGCUCCCUUAAGGGUUUGUGUUACAUGGAUUCAGCUGAAUGCCUGAACAGGGCCCUAGCAAGUACAGUCCAAUGACACCCAGUGUCAGGUGGCAGAGGAUCCAACCCCCAUGGCAGGUUACCAGAAACGGAUAAGACAAGGAAAAGUUCUUACCAACUGCUUUUUAUUCAAUAUUCACAGAGAGAUGCUUAGAAAAACAUCCUCUUUGAAUAAUGACUGAGUCUCUACCCCUCCCUCUCUCCCUUCAUGCGUCACCACUACGGGUGCUGAGAAGUGCCCUCUGCCUUUGAGCUCUUUGCUCUCCUAAUUUCAAUGCUCACCGGGUUCUGGGAGAGGGGGGGAUCUGGAAUGUUUUAUAAAGGCACUGUGCCCAUCAGCUGUCAACAGCGGCAGAGGAAGCCACUCGGGUGCCUGGGGCAGCAUGCCCAGUGACAGUGGGGUGAGCCGCCCAUAGGGGCGGGGCACACUGUGGGGCCUCGGAGUCUGCCUGCCUCCUCCCUACAACCGUCCUACAGCUGGGCGGGGGGAGGCAGCAGGUGGACGGUUUUGGGCAGCGUGGAGCCUGCGCACACCCAAGCCACCACGUCUCUCCCAGGAGAGACGCAUGGCUCGGGCAUGCUUCAGGCCCUGCGAUGAGUGCCACCUGGCAUUUUGUCACCCCCCUCAGUGUAUUUCUGAAAUGUCUUCUUCUUCUCUGGAAGGGUCAGGCUGGGGAGGCAGUCCCCAUUCCUCCUCUGUGAAGUCCCUGACACGGCUUUGUGGCUGUGCAAGGAUCUGACUUGGGUCUCCCUGGCACUAGUCAUUUGUUAGCUGGGCUGUUGCUGUCGAAAACAUUGGAAGGAUGCCAGGUUGGGUAAGAGUUCCAUAAUCCAGGGAUGGGGAACCUGUGACCCACUAGACACUAUUGGACUCCCAUUUGCUCUAGCCAGGGUGACCAAUGUUCAGGGAUGAUGGAGAUGAAAUCCAAUUCUUUUCCGAGUGCCACCACAUUGACCAUGCCUGCUGCAGUCUAACACACAAACUAAUGCGCCACACCAGCUCUGUUAUUUGAGAUGUAAUGUUCUUGUAUUUUGAACUGCAGCAGUUUUUAACAAUCCAGGUGUGUGUCGUUCUCCACUCCUCCCCGACAACAUUCUUAAUAAAUACUACAGUGGUACCUCAGGUUACAUACGCUUCAGGUUACAUACGCUUCAGGUUACAUACGCUUCAGGUUACAGACUCCACUAACCCAGAAAU
Molecule: non-coding RNA, 60057 nt
Organism: Podarcis lilfordi (Lilford's wall lizard)
Lineage: Eukaryota; Metazoa; Chordata; Lepidosauria; Squamata; Lacertidae
Source: the annotation of a GenBank genome assembly